CUUGUCUAGGUUUGGACCAACCGGGCUCAACCAGCCUAUUAACACCUCUAUACAUGAUGUUUUGGGUUCAAAUAUUAUUAUAAUCAAAUUUUUAUUGAUUUAUUAUAUGUAAAAGAGAUAAAAAAUUCUUAUAAAAAUAUUAAAAAAUAUAUUCUUAUAAAAAUAUAAUCUAAUUCGUCUAUAAGAAAAUAUUUUAAUAAAUUUAAAAUUAAAUUGAUGUUUAAUUUAAUCAUAACACCAACACAUUAAAACACAUAAAAGUAAGUAGGAUAUAAAUUAACUGGGCAGUGUUGAAUGCCUCGUGGUACGGAAAACAUGGCCAAAAAACAGCAUACUAAUCUCUAAGAAUUUUGGAUCCAUUAUUCUAUCCCAUUGAAUUUGGAAUUUCCAACCAAGUUUGUGAUUCUUUAUUCCGUCUCAACUAUGGAUUGAAUAUAUACGGGUCAUCAUCCUCCUAUUUUCGCCUUUUCUUCUAUGACUUCCUUUAUGUCUUUUUCAUGUUUCAAAGGUAGAAUUUAUGCAUGUAUUUGGCCAUUUGCCAAUAAUUGCACUUUCACGAAACUAGUAGUGUAUUGGUGUUGGCAGUAUACUCAAAGUUUUAUUAUUAUUUUGGUAUCCAAUCGCGUUGAAAUUAGGGUAAAUUAUUAAAAUAGUCACUUUUAUUUGCCUCAAGUUACAUUUUAGUUACUUAUGUUACAAAUGUUACGUUUUAGUCACUUAUAUUAUCGUGUUAUAACAUUUUAAUCAUUGAGUUGUUAAUUACCAUUAACGGUGUAACGGUAAGCUGACAUGACAUAUUAAAUCAUCAUUUUAAAUGAAAAUUUUAAGUUAAAAUUUUACAAUUGGUCUCUAUAUUUUUUCAUCUUAAACAAUUUAAUUUUUUCUCUUUUAUGUUCUUUUAACUUUCUUUAUUUUCUUUAUUUUCCUUUCUCUUUUGCUUCUCCCUAUAUUUUCCUCCCUUAUUCAUUUCUUUUAACAUAGUUUUUCUAUGUUUUCCAUUUGUUAAAAUUAGUCCACAAGCUCGCCUCAAUAAAAAAAUUAAAUUGUUCCAAAAAGUAAAAGUAUAGGGACUAGUUUUAACAAAUGAAAAACAUAGAAAAACUAUGUUAAAAGAAAUGGAGAAGGGAAGAAAACAGAGGGAGAAGCAGAAGAGAAUGAAAAAAAAAGAAAGUUAAAAAAACAUAAAAGAAAAAAAUUAAAUUGCUCAAAACAAAAAAUAUGGGGACUGAUUGUAUAAAUUAACCUAAAUUUAUUGUUUAAAAUGAUGAUUUAACGUGUCAUCAGCUUACCAUUACACUGCUAGUAAUAAUUAAUGGCUCAGUAACUAAAAUGUUACAACGCGAUAACGUAAGUGGUUAAAACACAACAUUUCAAACAUAAAUGACUAAAAUGUAACUUGAGGUAAACAAAAGUGACUAUUUUGGUAGUUUACUCUUAAAAUUAUGUUAUAGGCCAGAUUGGAGGACUUCCACUACUACAUUGGAAAACCAAAUGAAUGACCUUGAAAUUAAGAUGCAAUUUGACCCAAUGGACAUUCUUGUUCUGGAGGGACUUCUCUCAAGUUAUAGGGUGUAUAGGAAGGAGGAGCUUGCAUGGCUUCAAAAAACGAGUAAAGAAGAAUUAACAAAAUUUAGCAUUUAUAGGUGCAAAAUAUAAAAUUAGUUUUCCAGAAUCAUUUGCCUCUAUACAUGGCAAAGGUUAUGCUAUUGAUAUGGAAUUUUUGGAAUUUUCUUUUAACUCAACAAAAAGAGCCAAGAAUAUCGACGUAUCAAAAACAUCUCAAAAUAACUGCAAACACCUUAACAAAAAAUGUUGGAAAAUAUUGAGUGGAGAACAUAGAUCUGGAGACAAUAUUGAAUUAAAUAGUAGACCUCGAGGCGCAGGUGACACUUUCCAAAGAGAACUGUUUACCUCCACACAAAGUUGCUAGAGGGUUAAGACAAAGGUCCUUCCGGGAUACAACGAAGCUUUUGAAUUUCCUUUGAUUAGCAAAAUCGAGGAAUUCCUUAACUCUUACUCUAAUUUUUGAAAACAAGAUUGAUUGUAAUUGUAUUUUUUAGCACCAUAGACCCUCUAUUUAUAUAAACUUAAUGCAUACUACUUUGAAGACUCACAACCCUUUACAUUUGAUUUCCAUUGGACAUACUUCUUAGAAAAACAUGUCUCAUGGAAUCAAAUGUAUCCUUUGAAUAAAUCAUCACUUUCUAAUAAGUGCUCAUGAAUACUUAUGAAUUUGCACACGAGCUGAUACACAGGCAUGUGAGCCAAGUUAGUAAGUUACACUAAUGAGCACACGGUUGGACAGACAGGCAUGUGGUAUAGCCAUAUGGCUAUGUUUGGAGCCACACGGUCUAGACUCUGUCACACGGCCUGGACGCACGGUCAUGUGACCCCUGUAGGUGAAAUUUUUUAGUUUUCCAGAAAUGUUCUAAUUUGUUCCAAUUUGGUCCCUGAUUGCUUGAAAGCUAUUUUAAGGCCUCGUAGACUCAAUUUAAGGCUCGCAAAUGCAUGAUUUAUUCCAUUUUGAAUUUCUUAUAUAUUUAUUAAAUAAAUUUGAAAAUUAAUUACUAUUGGUUAUAAAAUGUUUCGUUUUCUACAGUAAUACUUUGUAACCCUAUUUCAUCGAUGAAAACGGGUUAUAGAUGUUACAUGUACACCUUAUUGUACGCUUGAGACAUGGUGGAUUCACUAUCACAAUAUACGGAAAUGGCGAAUGUACGUUGUGGCCAUAACUUUAUAUCUAGCAAGAGAUAUCUUAGUCAUUCCACUUCUUUGCCAGUAUCCGCCAAAGCUAUAAAUUCAACAUCCAUAGUUGACUGUGAAAUGCAAGUUUGUUUCUUGGAGACCCAACUAAUGGCUCCACCUUUGAUCGUAAAAAUCCAUCCCGAUGUCAACGUAUUGUCACUUAAAUUUGUAAUACAACUUGCAUCCGGGUAACCUUCUAGUACCGCGGGAUAAUCACUAUAGAAUAAUCCCAAAUUUUUUGUUUUCUUAAGAUAGCCAAAAAUCCAACAAAUUCCUUUCCAAUGAUCGGUACUAGGACAAUUUCUAAAUCUUACCAUUUUGCACACAGCAAAUGCGAUAUCGGGUCUAGUACAAUACGUUGCAUACAUUAGACUUCCAAUUACAUCGGUGUACUCAAGUUGCACUACAACCCUGCCAUUAUUCUCACUUAACUUAAAGUUUGAAUCAUAUGGAGUGUUCGAAUCCUUGAUAUUCAAAUGUUUGAACUUUUCCAAUACUUUCUCGAUGUAGUGAGAUUGGCUUAGUGCAAAGCCUCUUUUAUGCUUUUUCAUCUUUAUAUCUAGAAUUGUAUCUACCUUGUUAAGAUCCUUCAUCUUAAAAUUCAAGGCUAGAUACUCUUUGGUCUCAUAAACAUAUUCCAUGUUCGUCCCAAAAAUUAACAAAUCGUCUACAUAAAGAUAAAUAAUUACACCAUACUUAUCGGUAAAUUUAGUGUAAAUAUAUUUAUCCACACCAUUAUGUAAAAAAACCAUAUGACAAGAUAAUUGAGUCAAAUUUCUCAUGCCAUUGUUUAGGCGUUUGUUUUAAGCUAUAUAAUGACUUGAUCAACUUACACAUCUUAUGUUCAUUUCCAGGAAGCACAAAGCCUUCUAGUUGCUCCAUGUAGACGUCUUCUUCGAGAUCACCAUUCAAACAAGCCAUCUUAACAUCCAUUUGAUGUACAUGUAACUUAUGGAUAAUGUAAGUGCUAUAAGAAUUCAAAUGGAGGUCAUCCUAGCGACUGGUGCAUAGGUGUCAAAAUAAUCUAGGCUUUUCUUUUGCCUAAAUCAUUUAGCUACCAACCUAGCCUUAAAGGUUGGAGCACCCCCUAAUGGAGUAUUCUUCCUCGAUAGGCUUCGAUCCUUGAUGAAGAUCAACUAGAAUCCAAGAAUUGUUUGGUAAUAUUGAAUCAAUUUCAUCAUUGAUCGCCUCUUUCCAAAAUGUCACAUCCCUAAAAGUCAUGGUUUCACCAUAGGAUUGUGGAUCACCAUCCACAUUAAACAUUAUGGUGAUCUUCCUAAUUAUGAAUUCUUUAUUUCCCUCAACAAGAAAUACUAGCGAUUGCGAGGAAAUGGAAUCAGGACCAAAGUCCAUUACUUUUCUCACUCUUUGACUUUUUCUCGGCUUUGUAUCCUUAUUGUCACAAAGACUUCUUUUGGUUUGAUCAUUUGAGAUCAUUGGUUGAUAUUUUUUCUCGAAUCUAUUGAAUCAUCGAAAACCUUAUUUUCAAUGAAUACAACAUCUAUUGUUUCAAUUCCCGUAUUUGACACUAAGUCAAGAACACAAUAAGCCUUAGAGUGUUGGGUAUAUCCAACAAAUGCACCUUUGAAGGCUCUUGGUCUUAACUUUGUUCUCCGUUGGUCAGGAACUUUAUAGUAAGCCAAGUACCCUCACACUUUGAAAUAAUCUAAGUUUGGCAUCCUACCAUUCCAUAACUCAUAUAGAGAUACUUUGAAUUUUCUCGAUGGUAUUCUAUUAAGGAUAUAACACGUAGUCAAUAAUACUACACCCCAUAGAUUAUAUGGAAGUUUAGCAUUUAACAACAUCAAGUUAACUAUAUCUACUAGAGUACGAUUCUUUCUUUCUGUCAAACCAUUUUGUUGCAGAGUAUAAGGAGCAGAACACUCAUGUACCACACCUUGUUCCUCACAAAAUACAUUAAAUUCAUUUGAAAAAUAUUCACCACCUCUAUCAUUACGAAGCACUUUGAUUUUCUUACUAAACAAAUUCUCAACCUCAUUUUUAAAAUGUUUAAACAUAUAAAAAGCCUCGUCUUUACUUUUCAUGAAAUACACAUAAGUAAAUCUAUAGAAGUCAUCUAUAAAAGUGAGAAAUAUCAUUUUCCACCUCUUGUUAGGGUUCCAUUUAAUUCACAAGCAUUUGAAUAGAUUAAAUCUAACACUUGUGAAUUCCUUUCACACUUAUUAGGAAAUCACUUCUUGAUAAUUUUUUGAUUAAAUACAAAUUUCACAUUUAUCCAUAAAAUCAUCAUUACUUAGAUUGAUAUAACUAUUCUUUUGCAUAUAUUGUAAAGUUAUAAAAUUAAAAUGUGCUAAACAUGCAUGCCACACAGGAGAAGACUUAACAAUAUAAGUAGAAGAAUUGACUUUAUUCAUAUUAAUGCUCAACUUGAAAAAACCCUCGUUACAAUAUCCUUUUCAUACAUAUAUAUCACCCUUAAGCAAGACAAACUUAUCAAAUUCCAAGAUAAUCUUGAACCGUUGUUAUAUAGAAGACUCUCAGACACUAAAAUAUUUCUCACAUCGGGAACAUGUAACAAAUUGGUCAAAGUCAAUUUCUUCCCAAAUGUGAAGUUGAGUUCCACUGUACCUUGACCGAGCACCUUAACUGAUUGAUAGUUGCCCAUAAGCACUUCGCAAUUUGCCACUAGUUCAUAACUCUCAAACUGUUGUCGGUCAUUACACACAUCGACAGUAUCUCUAGAGUCAAGCCACCAAUUACAGGACUUAUCGACCAUGGCUAUGUUGAGUUUGGUAAUCAUACCAAUCUCCAAACUCUCGAUUCCUUCCGUAACCAUGGUCACUAAGUCCCUGUCUUCCACCAUAUUGGCUUUGGAAGUUAUGGCAUCAUGCUUAUUUUUGAGAAAUUUUCAAUCCUUAAUAUAGUGUCCUUUCUUAUUGCAAUUAUAACAAAUGCAAUUUUUUUUCCUUGUCUUGCACGUCAUUGGUCUUAGAUGUCGCCUUUCUCUUACCAUUUUGAGAGUUCUUGGACUUGUUCACAUGGUUCACUUUAGAACUUUGGGGAAGAUACACCGCAUCACACUUUUGAGUUUCCUCUUCAAUAACAAAUGCCUAAGUAUUUUCUCCAUAGUGAAGUCCUUUUCCAUAUGCAGAAGUUUCUUCCGAUAAUUCUUCCAAGACAAGACCAACUUUGAAAUAAUAGCGCCGACUUGUAAAAAUUCUAGAAUAACAACAUUCAAGUCACGGAGCCUGCUUACAAGGACUUGACUUGAUCCAUGAUUAGGAUACUAUCGAGCAUUUUGAAUUUGAAAUACUUCAUCAUUAAAAAUUUAUCAGUACCUUGUCAUUCGGUGUUAUAUUUCUCUUCAAGAGCUUUCCAUAUUUUUAUCAGGGAUUGCAUCAACAUGUAGAGAUCAUACAAUCGAUUAGACAAGGUGUUGAGGAUGUGUCAUCGACAUGUGAAAUUGUCUUUUUCGCUCUUUUUCUUGAGUUUAGCCACUUUCGCAAUUUUCUCAGGGUUUACAUUGGGGGCAGGAUCCUCCACAGGUUGUAGGUUUGGAUCCAGAACAUAUGCCACAUUUAAGACAAUAAGAAGCAACAACAUCUUAUCCUUCUAGCAAUUGAAGUUUGAACCAUCAAAUCGGUCAAGUUUCACAAACUCUUGGUUCAUCACUUUGAAUGCGAUGGUAGCCUCUGCUGCCAUCUCCAAAUUAGUUCUCUUUGAUUGUUGGAAAAUAUUGAGUGGAGAAGAUAGAUCCAGAGAUGAUAUUGAAUUAAACAGUAGACUUUGAGGCGCGGGUGACACUUUCCAAAGAGAAUUGUUUACCUCAACACAAAGUUGCUAGAGGGUUAAGACAAAGGUCCUCUUGGAAUAAAAACAAAGCUUUUGAAUUUCCUUUUAUUAGAAAAAUCGAAGAAUUCUAUAACUCUUACUCUAAUUUCUAAAAACAAGAUUGAUUGUAAUUGUAUUUUUGAGGACUAUAACCCUCUAUUUAUAUAUAAUCAAUGAACACUAUUUUAGAGAGUCACAAUCAUUUACAUUUGAUUUCCAUUGGACAUACUUCUUAUAAAAACAUGUCUCAUUGAAUCAAAUGUAUCAUUUGAAUAAAUCAUUACUUUCUAAUAAUUGAUCAUCAAAAAUUAUGAAUUUGCAAUUUACAAUUUCCAACAAAAAAAAUUCUAAUCACUGCAGAAAAAAAAAACUAAUUAGGUUUUACUUAGAGUAAAAAGAAAAUUGAAAGAAUAAAAAAAUGAAAUAUAUAUAAUUAUUUAUUUUCUUUGGAGUACUUGGUAGGAAGGAUGAAAAUUUUGAAAGAAAUAAUUUUCUUCCCAUUAAUUGCUCACUAUAGUUGAAAAGUAAGAAAAUGAAAUAAAACUUUUGAAAAAUGCAUAAUUCGAACUAACAUAUUUGCAAUUCUCAUUUUCUCUUCUCUUAUAAUUCGAAUUUGGAAGGAUAAAUAAAUAAUUAACACAAAUCCCACAAGCCUUUACAUGUUGAGAGUUUCCUACAACCAUAUGAUAAACAAGAGGAGUCAAAUUCGAAAUUCUAUUUUAAAGAGAAGUGAUAUUUAUCCGGACUAUUGCAAAUUAGCGUCAAUGACUGAAAUCAACUUCCUUCUCAUGAGGAGUUUUAUUCAUUACGGCACCUUCACUGACAACAUCCAUCAUAUUUCUUUCCAUAGGUUGGAGUCCUUCAUAAAAACAUUGGAUGACUAAAUGUUUCGAAAUUCUAUGUUAUAGGCAACUAGCACAUAGUUGUUUAGUCGAUUCUCGGAACGAAUGAGAUUUGUAAAGUGUCUAGAAAUACAUGCCAUAUAAAUCUGUGAUAGUGUGAUGUGUAUGAUCCGAUCUAAUCUUUGUUUUACAUAUAGACAGAAAUAAUUUUCAAUCGAGCUAUUUCAUAAAGUGUUGAAAGUGACACUAAGGUGUCUGAGUAAGAAUGUGUUUAUGAUGAGUCGAAACUUGGAAAGGUAUGAAGAAGAGUUCAUGAUAUGGAUGUGAUGAGGUACGAAAUGAAAUAGUCAUAAAUCGAGAAAUAUAAGAAAAGUGAAAUGAAAUGGAAGUUUAUCUUGUGAUGAGCGCAUCUAUGUUUAUGUGACAUUCAUAUGAUAUUAUGUGCCUGACUUGUUUGAUUAAGUAAAUGCUAUAAGUAAACUUACUCAAAAUUCAUGGAAUGUAUGUUUAAGUACACUUGUUUGAAAAGGAUAAUUGAAAAAUUCGGGUAACAUAAUUAUGUAUGUUAAUUUGCUUGAAGUGAAUUAUGUAAUUGUGAGGAUAUGAUGUUGAUGAUAAAUGCUAAGUCAUAUGAGUGUAUUUAUGAGAGUCCAGUUAGAGGCUUUACGACCUCACCCCCUUAUCAAUGUGGUAUUUUAUAACAAAAAUUCACGAUAAUUAUGUUGAAUAGUUCACAAGUGUGAAACUAAAGAGUACAGUAGUGGAAUAAUUAAAAAUGCAGACGGAGUUAAAAAUAGUUUGACAAGUGAACACAGUUUUGAAAAAGAUAUCAAAUUAUUUUAAAGAUUAUUCAAAUUACGUAAUGUCACGGUUAAAGAAUAAGUUAACCUCGGCUAAUCGACUUAUUCAGAUAUGAUGUCUAAAAUAUGUGUUUGCUGAAUUUUUUUUCGAAUUGGUUUUCGUUAGGGAAUGGAAUGAUGCAGGGUUCAUGAUGAUAGAAUUAGUAAGAGAAAUGAUAAUUGAGUAGAAAAGAUGUCUGUGUGUGUGACAGUUAUAGUUGAAACGAAUAUGAUGAUCUUUUUUAGGUAUUAUAUAUAUUCUUUUAUCCUCAAGUGUAUGUGUGUGGUUAUUCAAUUUUUGAUGGAGUUCUUAUGUUGUGAGAAUGCUAGCUAACUAUGAUGUUAGACAAAAGCCCUAUUGGUCUGGUCGGUUUAUGAUAAGUAUUUCUUCAUCUCUUUGGAAUUUUAUUCUAAUAUGUUAGAAUGAAGUCGAUGGUAAAAAAAUAAAUAAAUAAAAAUAAAUAAAAAUAUUCGAGGUUCAAUCGAAUUGUGAUUUUGAGAAGUUAGUAAAAGUGUUUCAUGAGUGUUGAAAGCAACUUCUUCUGAUAAGAUUUUCGGGGAUGAAAAUCCCUAAAGGGGGGAGAGUUGUAACAGUCUAAUUUUCAGUGGUGUCGGAACAGUGAUUCGAGAUCACUAAAUCAGACAAAUGAGUAGGAAAUAUUAUUAAUUUAGUGAGUAUAAGUUAAAUGUGAAGUUAGGAAAAAUUUUGAAGUACUGAAUAGUGUACUAAAAAUAAAUAUUAAAAUAAUUAGAAUCGAAAACGAGGUAUCGAGACCUCGAGAAUUUUAAAUCGAGCCAUAAAUAUUUUUAUAAAUAUUUAUGGAGUGUUAAUAAGUUAGUAUUAAAGUUUCGUCAAGAAAUUUUAAAGUUCUGAUAGUUAAUUGAACAAAAAGGACUAAAUUGUAUUAAAUGCAAAAUUGUGGGAAAUGAUUAAAUAGCUUAAAUGAUAAAAGAAAGAUGGUUUAAAAGGAAAAUAGACCCAAGGUCUCUUUGGGCUGGACGGCAAUGGCAUGAAAUCAGCAAGAAAAUAAGGAGAAUUAAGGGAAAAAUUGGAAAAUUGCAAAAUUUACUUAAUAAAGCUAGGACUAAAGUGGAAUUAUCUAGAUUUCUCUUUAUUUUUUCUGCAUUCUCAUCAGCAAAAACACCAUGGAAGGGUUCCCUUAAGCUUUUGUUUUCAUAUUUUUACUUCAGGUAAGUUCAAUUAUUGAUUAUUUCUUGAAUUUUUUGUGUUUUUGUGACUUUUACAACUAGGUCCACUUGUUAAAUUCAUUAGUUUUUGAUUCUAUGAAAGAAAUUGAAAGUUUCCAUGAAUAUGUGCUAGAAGUAUAUGAUGAUUUGACAUGGAAUUAGAGCUUUAAGUUGUUUAUUUGCUGAUUUUAUUGAAAGAAUUGAAUAGAAAGUGAAUGUUUGGGACCUAAUUGUAAAAGAGUUUGAAGUUAGAGUUUUAUGUAGAAAUUCUGAAAUUAAAUAGUUAUGAAAUAACUUAUAAUGUCUAGGAAAAGUAUUAAUUGAGAAAAUUAUCUUAAUUGAGGGGUUAAUUGAGCAAGGACUGAAUUGUAUGAAUUGUGAACUUUGGGGCAAAAUAGAAAUCAACAUUUUGCACUAAAACUGUUUUGGACAACAGCAGUAGUCUAACUUUGAAAAAUCACCAAAAAUUGUAUAAAUGGAAUUAGAGGAUGAAUAAAAUAUUCAAUUAAAGCUUAUUUAGUCUAGUUUCUUAUAGAAGAAAUGAUGUAAGCAAUGGAAUUGUAAAUCAUGAGAUAUGAUAAAUUUUGUGAGACAAGGUCAGAAUGAUUUCGGGUUCCCUUGUUCUUACUUUGUAAAAUCAUAAAAAAUUUGAUAAAAAUAAUUAUGGGCUUAAAUUUAUAUGUUUAGAAUCCUGAAUGAGUCUAUUUUCAAGAGAAACAAAUGGUAACAUCAUUCGAAAUUAUGAAAUAACAGAACAGGGGAGACUUUAAUGAAUAAACUGUAUUAAUUGGCCCAACCAAAAAUUAUGAAAUUUUUAUGGUAAGAAGAUAUAUGAGUCUAGUUUCAUGGAAAAUUAGAGGAUCUUAAUUUUGAGUUCCGUAGUUCCAGAUAUAAAUAAUUUAGUGACUACGACACGGGUGGAUAGUCUGAAUAUUCACAUAAGUAAUUAGUGAAAAUUAUAGAUAAGGUUACUUACGAGUGUGUUAUUUAUACCAAGGAUGUGGAUGGAGAGGAGGAGGAGGAAAAAUAUAUGAAUGACUCGUGUAUAAAUUAAACACAUGCCCGAUUAUAAUCGAUAAGUGUUGGAUUAGAAAUGAUAUAAUGUUUUAUGUGGAAUAUUUAUUAUGAAAUUAUGAUUAUCGUUAUAAUACAAAAUUUGUACUUGUGAGUUUAUAUGGAUAAAUUUUAGUGAUUAUUUGUUAAUUUUAUGAAUUUCAUGAUGUGUUAUUUCAUAUGUAUUAAUGAUAAAAUCGUGAAUGAUGUAAAAGCAUGAAAAUUGAAUAAAUGAUCAAAUUGAGCAUUUUAGUUCAGUGACAAGAUGAAUUGAAGGAAAAGACCAUAGUUGGACCAUGGCAACAAGUGAUAAGUGAUAGCUUCGGCUACACUUAUCUGAUCAAGGAUAAGUGGAAGUGAUAAGUAAUAGCUUCAGCUACACUUAUCUGAUCAAGGAUAAGUGAAAGUAAUAAGUAAUAGCUUCGGCUACACUUAUCUGAUCAAGGAUAAGUGAAAGUGAUAAGUAAUAGCUUCGGCUAUACUUAUCUGAUCAAGGACAAAUGACAAGUGAAAAGUGGUAGCUUCGGCUACCUGAUCAGUGAAAAGUGGUAGCUUCGGCUACCUGAUCAGUGAAAAGUGGUAGCUUCUGCUACCUGAUAAGUGAAAAGUGGUAGCUUCUGCUACCUGAUCAGUGAAAAAUGGUAGCUCCGACUACCUGAUCAAUGAAAAAUGGUAGCUCUGGCUACCUGAUCAGUGAAUAGUGGUAGCUUCGGCUACAAGUGACAAGUGAUUUCCGUAUAAGACCAUAUCUGGGAUAUGGCAUCAGUGAGAUAUGUGAUUCGUGUAAGACCAUAGCUGGGCUAUGGCAUCGAUAUGUGAUAUGUGAUUACGUGUAAGACUAUAGCUGGGCUAUGACAUCGAUAUAUGAAGAUGUGUAAGACCAUAGUUGAACUAUGACAUUGAGUACUCAAUUCCGUAAGACGUUCACUAAUUUGACAAAGUUUGGUAAGUGUUACAUGGAAUUAUGUGAUACAGGAAGUACGAAUUGAUAAGAUAUGAGUAUAGAACUUGGUUGAUAAAUGAAUUCAUUUGUGAUUAUAUAAUUGUUCAUCUUGAAUGUAUUGUCCAUAUGUAUUGAUAAUUCAAACGUAUUAAUGAAUAAAGUUCCGACAUUAAAUAAAUUGAACACGAGACAAAUAAUUAUAAAAUUGAACUCGGAAUUCAUGAAAAUGAUGAUUAUUGAUAUAUAGAGACAUGAGACAUUGGUAUAUGAAUAUGGAAAAUAUUUGAUAAAUGUGUUUAUUCAUAAUUAUGGAAUUAUAUACCUCAUGUGUACUAUUUGCAUAAAGAUGAUAUUUCAAAUACUUUGGUUAUUUAAGCUUAAAUAUGAAACAGUAUGAAAUCAAGAUAAGUUGUUAUAAAAAUAUAUUUAGAUUACAGAGAUAUGGCUGAUAUAUGUUGUAUGAUUACAUAACGUGAAAUUGUGUAUAUAUAUGAGAAAUUUAAUGAGAAAUGAGCCCAUACACGUUUCUUGUUAUUUAUAUGAAGUGUACGACUGACAAGGGUGAUGAAGUUAUAAACAGAGAGUUACACGGGUUGAAAACACGGGCGUGUGACUCUCUAAAGUGUGAAAAUUUUCUAAAGUGUUGCAAAAGUUUCAUAUGUUUAUGGUUUGGUCCCAAACCACCCUAAAUGUAUGUUUUGGGCCCCAUAGGCCCAUAUAAGGGACGUUAAACAUAUGUAUGAAAGUUUUUAAUUUAGAAGAAAUUUUAUGGCUGAUUUUUACAUGUGAAGACUCUUCAUGUCGUUCUACUUGAUGCCACAACUUUUUUUCUUGAUAGAUGUAACACCUCUAACCCGUAUCUGUCGUUGGAUAAGGGUUACAGAGCAUUACCAUACAACCGAAAACAUUUAAACUUAAUAUCAUUCAAUAAUAUAAUCACAUCAUAAAUCAAUUAUAUAAAUACAUACCGUCCUUAAAUCGAGCCAUCGAGGCCCUAAAAAACAUCUUAGAAGUAAAUUGAGACUAAUUUAAAAAAUUUGGAAAGCUUAGGAAAAACAUGUAAAAUUUGCAAAACAGGGGUCAUACACCCAUGUGCCAAGCCGUGUAACUCACUGAUUUGCACCUUAAAGAAAUCAUCAAAUGACACAUGGCCAUGUCGUUAGGCUGUGUGUCUCACACGGUUGAGUCACACAUCCGUAUGGACCCAAAUUUACCUCAAAUCAAGCCAUUUCAAAACCAUCUCAUGCUUUAACAUUUAGACCAAUUUUGUACACUUUCAAAGCACCAAAAGUUCACCUAAACACACAUACAUUUGCCACUUCCAAAAUCUUAAUUCAACUAACCAAUAUCCCAAUCAAGGUACCACAAUUAAUAUCAAAAUAUCACCUACCUGGACAUGUUCAUAUGCCUAAUUCUAUGCAGACAAUUCUAGACCAUUUAAGUAUUAAAAUAUACCUCAUUUAGCCAUUCCCAAAACAUACAAAACAUACCAUAAAAAACCAUUAUCAAGCAAUAAAAACUUACCAAAAGAACCUUAUAUACAUGCACUUAUAAGUGACCAAAAUGACUUACUUAGGCAAGCAUUAUAAGUUCAUCAACAAACCAUAAGCAUCAAAGCACAAACAUACCAAGUUACCAUUUUACAUGUUUAUCAAAAACGCCAUUAUAAACCAUCCUAUACAUGUUACCCUAUACAUGCCAUUAUAAACCUUAACCAAAUUACUAAAAAACUACCGAAUUGUCCACUGGAUAGUGUGAUAGAUCUCUGACAAGCUUCCAAACUGAUCGAGUUUCUGACAAUCUAUAAAACAAAAGAAAAUGAUUACGUAAGCAAUGAAUGCUUAGUAAGCUCGUAUGAACUUAGAACAUAACUUACCAUUUCAAUAAUGAAAUUUAUAGAAUAAGUACAAACCGUUACCAAUGCCAUAAGGUUAGUAAAAGCCUAUAUAACAUUAUCAAUCUCACAAGUUACUAUAUUUGUUCAUAAUUCACAUGAAAUCAAUCACGUAUAAUAUAACAUUUAAUUAAUCAUCCUUACUAUAUGAUCAUGUUUCAUUCCAUUUACUUACUUAUUGUUUCCAAUACCAUGAGUUUAAUAUAAGCUUAUUCAAGCAUCAUCAUGCUUACAUAUUAGUAGAUUCAUUGAUAAUCUUUUAAACUCAUUUAUAACAUAAAUAGAUUUCAUAAGAUACAUUACAUAAGCAUAAACCUUUUCAUACCGUUAUGAACCUUUCCAUUAAGUCACCUAUCGUUUCAUUCCUUUUCUUACCCGUUGAACCAUAUAGAAUUACAUAUACUCGGGAAAGCUCACACGAAGUGUACCUUUACAUAUAAUCAUAAUCUUUCCUUUACAUCAAUUCUCACACGAGUUGUGGAAUGGGCAUGCUCACACAAGCUGUGGGUCAGAAUAUAAGUUAUACGAUGUUGCUCACAUGAGUUAUGGAGAAUCCACAACAAAUGUAGGAUCCCAAUUAUCGGUAGGACAUUCAAGACCAACACCUGAAACAUGAAAUCCCUAAUGACAUGUCAUUUGUAUCCUAAGAAUUCUUAAGGUUCAACCGAGACUCGAUAUCCAUCAAUUCGUCAUAAUAUGGAUACGUUCACAUAUAUAUUGAUUCAUUUUCAUUAAAUACAACAUAGUAAACAUUUAAUUAAAUUAAUAUUAUAAUGAUUACAGUUCAUACAAACUUACCUAACUAAAUUGCAGCAAUGACUAAGUACAGGGGCUAUUUGGUAAUUUUCUCUUCUCCUCGAUUUUUCACUCAUUCUUGAUCUAAAAUAAUAGUUCCAUUCAAUUCACUAAUUCUAACAAAAAAAUCAAAUUCAUUUUUAUGCAAUUAAUUCAUUUUUGAUAUUUUACAAAAUUUCCCCAAAAUUUAUCCUUUUUGCAAUUUACUCUCUAAACCUGAAACUUGCAAUUUCAUUAUUUUUAAUAUAAAUCACGCUAGCCAAUUUUUACCCAAUCUUAUAACAGCCCAUAUUUAUUCAAAAUUUACAAUAUUUUCCUUGAAUUUUACCAUUUUCAUAAAUCAAUCCCUAAACUUGAAAAUCAUCAAAAAAUACUUAACAAAAUACUUAUAUUCAACAACCAAGCUUAAUAUCAUAAAAUUCCAAGAACAUCACAAAUUCACCCAUAGUAAAUUUCUGUAUACUUAACAAUUUAACAAAUUAACCCUCAGAUUAACUAGAUUAAGUUAAUACGAUACCAUAAAUAUCAAAUCCAUUAAAACCGGGUAGAAAUUACCUACCAUGCAUGAAGAAAUAGCUUUUUAGCUUGGCUUCCAUGGAGUAUUUGGUUAGACAAAGAAAGAGAUUAAAAAUGAAAAAGAUGAUGAUAGGUUUCAUCUUUUAUUUUAAUUUUACUUAUUUACCAAUUUACCUUAUUAACCUUUUUAAACCAUUUAAAUUUCAAUAAAAUUUAUCCAUAUUUAUCCACUAAUAUAAAAAAGGUAUAUUUACCUUUUAAAACCCUUAGCUUAUGGUUCUUUAGCCAAUUAAUACAAUUAAGCUAAUAGCAAUUGACUUUUGUAUCCUUUACAAUUUAGUCCUUUUUAAUUAAUUAACUAUCUAAACAUUAAAAUUUUUUAACCAAAUUUUAAGACGGCCUUAAUAACAUUCCGUAAAUAUUUUAUUAAAUAUUUAUGGCUCGAUUUAUAGAAACGAGGUCCCGAUACCUCAUUUUUUAAAACUACUUGACUUUAUAGUCAUAUCAGUUGGACCUAAUUAUUCAUUCAAAUAACAUAAUUUUCCAAUUCAAAAUUUAUUUUAAUACUAUAAUUAACUCAUAAAUAUUUAAUAAUAUUUACGAGCUCACUUGUCGAAUUUGUGACCCCAAAACUACUAUUUUUGACACUACUAAAAAAUCAAGCUAUUAAAAUAGAAGUAGCACGUCAAGUAGAAAAGAAUUAUCAAGAAAUAACCUUAUUAUGUCAAUUCAUGUGGUUAUAGAUUCAGGAGGUAAAUAAAAUAGUCAAUUCUUCACCUUGUCGGCUAGCGAAGAGGGUAAGGCUCUUAGUUUGAUUUGCUCUUUGAUCAGUCAUUGCCGUCUCAUAGUAGAACACACUACAUAAAAGCCCUUCAAGCACUUAUGAGGAUCUUCGUUUGUUUGACCAUGAAAAGUAAGCAAUAAAUGAAUUAGUCCAGAUUUUAAUUCAAAAGAUACCUCUAAUUUAGGAUAUUGAUGCACAACUGUUGUUGCUUCAGAUUCUACGUAGCUAACUCUCUCAUUGUUGGUUCUAAACGAGCCAUUGGUUCUUCUCCUUUUUGAUUUGGUAGAUGAAGGCGACUGGUUAAUUCUCUCUUGAACUCCCUUCCUUAGUCUUCGAGCAGUUUUCUCAAUCUCAAAAUUGUAUUAGAGUUCACCUACAUGAGAAGACCAAAAUUUUAAUUAAUAUAUUUUAUGGUUGAGCAAAAAGAAAGACUGAAGCAUAAAAAGGAACAUAAACAAAAUAAAAUUAAAAAUAAUAGAUAGAAAAAAGUAUUAAAAUUAAUCCUCGACAAAAACGCCAAAAUUUGUACAGUUUUCAAGACCUAAAAAAGUAAAAUUCUAUUAAAAAAAUAUAAAUUUAGUACAUAGCAGUGAGUAGAGUCAUAUUUAUAGAGAUCGGUAAUAAUUUUAUUUCUUAAAUAAAAAAAAGGAAAAUAAAUAUGAUGGGGGUUUAGAAAAUAAAAUACUAAAAUUAAAUUUAAAUGUUAACCAAGAAGGUAAUAAUUAAAAUUGAAGAAAACCAACAUGAUGAAGCUCUAGCCAAAUGUAAAAUAUAUCUUUGAUUCACAAGUUUAAUCAUUGAUGCAUAGAUAAUUUUAUUGUUUUUUAAUAAACUAGUUAUAGUUGCUGAUGUCACGCUUAGCAAUCAGUCUCUUUUUUACCUUAUCGAUAACCAAAAGCUCGUUGAAAUUAUUCCCCUUAUCAAUGAACAACCCCAUAAUUUUACCCUUAGAAUUUAGUUUACUGAUAAAAUUACGAACAAGAUAAACUUAAUUUUAACCAACAAACGCACCAAAUAGAGUUUAUUUAAGCUAGAUCGCAUGUGUACACAACAUUGAUUGCAUACGUAAUUAUGGUAUUUUUCACAAGCAUUAGAAUGAAUUAAAUAAUUAUAAAUUUUUUUUAUUGACAAAGUAAAUAUUCUAAGUUAUCAAAUAUGAGUCCUAUAUUUAAAAAAAAACCUAAAUAUUUGUAAUUAAAUUAAAAAAACAUGUGAAUACUAAAGAAGAAAAAAACAUGUAAAUUUUCACAUAGAAACUGUCAGGCUAGGCCAUUUUUAGACACUUUUGGACUUUUUUUGAGUUUGAGUUGUGAAAUAAUUUUAGUUAAAAUUUUCAAUUCCAUAUGAAAUGGUAUAUUAUAAAUUCAAAAUAAAACUUUAUAAUUUAAGUUAUAUGACUAAAAUAUUACAGCAGUAUAAUGAUGAAAGUCUAAACUACAAAAUUUACCAAAAAAGUUGUAAUAUCUUUUUCUCCCAAUAUUUCCAUAAAUCUAUAAUAUAAAAAACAUAAAAUUAAAUAAUAUAAUUAACAACUUAAAUAAUAUAAUUGAAUAGUAUAAUUCAAGAAUAUUACAAAUAAAUUAAUAUUGAUGCACUUAUAGAAACCAAGGCUUCCGCUCAAUCACGAGAGACGCUUUCCCAAGACAAUCUUACCGUAAUCAAAAGGAGGUCAAUCCACAACCGGCUAAGCCUUAACCUAAACCAUGCUGUUCAUCAAGAUUAAAUAUCUCAUCGAAAAAGUCGUCCUGUUGUCUUUUGGGUUGCUAUUAGCUCCAUUGGCCAUGGAUUCUACAAGAAAGUUGUGUUGACAUUGAUGAUUUGGUUUAAGCUAUUGGUACCAGUAUUGUCAAAGCGUCAGGUAGAAUGUAUAACAGAUGGCUUGACCAUUGCUGACUUUUACCAAUCCAGCAUGUUUUAAAACUUGGUGGUAGUUGCUGCUACUGGUUAUGUAUCGAGUUGCUGGGAUACUAGUUAUGUUUCAUUGUGCUAUUGGAAACAUGGUUUGUUGUUGGGAGUUUAUUUGUUGUCAGAUUUUCUAUGUUAUGGUUCCUGGUUUGUUGUUUGAUGAUUCGAUGGAUGGAUGCAGAAGUUGGAGAAACCAUAGAGUAUAAAUUUAGUCAAAAGAUAAAAUAGUAAAGGCCAUUUUGUUUUAUUUUUCCAUAAUAUUAUACAAAUAGUCACCAUGUAUAUAUACAUGGCACUGACAUGAUUGUGAAGGCCUACACACUUUCUAAUGGUUCUACUGGCUAUCAAAUUUUUUUACUAUAAUAGUAAUACAGGUAAUGCAGCAGCAAGUAUCACACUAUUAUUUAAUUUUGAUAGCCUUAAUUACCACCACAGCUUGAUGAAGAAGCAAAGGCAGUUAUGCCUCUAACUCAAAUGAUGCCUUCAUUGUGGGUGAACGACUCACGGGAUCAAUUUCAAUAGAUGCAUUGUAUCCAAACUUUGUAACUUUAAAUUUUGGUUUUCCUCUUUUCUCAAGGUUGGUUUUGAUUUGCCCCCAGUGAACAGGUUGUCUCUGGAUAUCAGUAUAGACCUGCAGCAUGCAUGCAAAUGGCAUGCAAAUGGUCAUAGAUUAAAUGAUUAUAUAUACGCAUUCUAACUAGUUAAUUAAUGAUAAGAUUGAAUUGAAUGCAACAAAUACCUUGCUGUUCUCAUCUAGUGGGUUGCUCCAGGCAACAACCCACUUGGUUCCAUCACGUCGCCUGUACACAAGACCAGCAACUGAACCAUGACUAUCAGCAUCAUCAGUCACUGAUUCAUGUGUAAACUCACUCGAAUCUCCAUCUUCAAUUAUUUCUGGGAAAUCCGCAUAAUGAGAGCCUUGCCAAACUUUCUUGUCAGUCAAGGUUAGAGCUUCGCUGGAAGAGUUCCAAAGCUUGCCGUUUGUGCAUUGUUGAGCUCUUUUCAUUUGAAAAUUAGCCAUGGUAGCUUUGUAUGUGCUUUGGUUAGCUAAAGUUUGUUUUGGUUGUGUUAUGCUUCAAAUAUUGCAAUACACACCUACUUAUAUACUAGUUUACACCAUGCAUGCAUUGUCCAUAACAACAACGUUUAUGCGCAUGAAAUUAUUUGACUUCAUUCACAUUAAAACUUUUUUAUAUUCUUUUUCCCUUUUUUUAUUCAUAUUCUUGAUGUGUCUUUUCACUUUUAAGUACAAAUUCUUUUCAAUUAAAGAAAUAUUUUUAAAGUAUUUGGAUUUUUUUGAUAAAGUAUUAUUUUUUAAAUUAAAUAAUUAACAAUAUAAAGGUAAACUACUUUCAUUAUGAUCUAAACUAUUAGUAAGUUUAUGUUUGGUUAUUCAAUUUAAAAAAAACAAGCUACAAAUUGAAUAUUAAACUAUUCAAAAAGUUUAUUUAAGUCAAUGAGCUAUUAAAGUUGUUGUUGUAUGACCUUCUCUAUUUGCACCACCUGUAUCUAUCAAAAGUUCUCAUUCCCCUUCUCUUCUACAAUUCACUUUUUUCUCAAGAAAUAACUUUUAACCUCGUGAAUCUGCGAACCAAAAUUCAAACAAAUUUUUUCUCCCAUCACUGACAUUGAUAGUCAAAUCAACUUGGAUAUAAAAUAUGUUCUACUACUUGUUAAUGGUUUUUGAUCCACCAUACCGAUCAUUGAAUCAUUGCUUGAAGCUUGCUAGCAGGACUUUAAAAUAAAACUUUAAUAACCUAGUGACUUCAAUAAAAACUUUCAAAUAGUUCAAUGACCAUUUUAUAAUUAUUUAAAAUUGAAUAACUAAAACAUAAAUUUACUAAUAAUUUAAUAUGAAUAAAAUAUAAUUGUUGGGGACUCAAACUAAACUCACAUCACAUAAUUAAAUAAAUAAUUUCAGCGGAUGUAUUACAUAAAAAAAUUAGUACAUAAUAAAAAAAGUCAUCUCAAAAUUAAAAGCUUCAAAAACAUACUUAAAUCUUAAUUAUAUAUUUUUAAGAAUUAUUGAAAUAAUUUUCUUUUACUAACUAGUGUCAGUUUCUAGUACUUACACAACUCCAUGUACAUCAUUAUCCUGGUAACCUAAUAGUCACCAAAGCAUAAGUAUACAUACAACUAGCGUGACUUAAACCCAAGCCACAACUGGAAUGAUGAACACCUUUAACUAUCAAGCUAUUACAUGAGAUUCAUAUUAAAUUUUAAUAUGUUAAUGAUAUGUUUGAAAUAUUUUUUAUAUUGAUACUGUAUUUGUAUUAAUAAUUAAAUAACUUUAAAUGUAAUUUAAUUUUAAUAACAUUAACCAUUUUUCCAUUAAACUUUGAAUCCCUUUGAAAAAAAUAGUGAUUUGUGUAUUAAGCAUAAAUUUUUGUUGGAAAAAAAGGGAAUAAAACUUUGCAUUUGAGAUGCUGAAAGGCUAAGGUAUUAAAGCAAUGAGACUUUUAGUAUGGAGCUGAAUUUUGUUAUAUUAUAAAAUAUGCUUUAAGUUUCAAGACAUUAUUAGUGGAGUUAGAUGUGUUUAGGUGACACUUUCAUGAUUUUGACAAGUUAAUUACUUGUUAUAUGCAAUGUUUUGUUUUUCAGUUGAUCAAUGAAUUAUUUUUCAUCAAAAUUCUUCUUGUUUCUGUUUCAAUCCAAGCUAUAUUUUCUUGUUCUUCUAGCUCGUGUUUCUUAUUUUGUUUAGCAAGUCACUAUUGCUUAAAGCUUAAGACUUUGCUGUAAUUGCUUAGUGAUAACUCUCAACUCCAAUAAUUUGUAUCGGGAGCUGAUUUCUUAGAUGACCUUUCUCUUUUCUACUUUAAAAAACAAUGUUUUCAUCAAGUUUCUCUCCAGCACCACCACCAGUAUUCAAUAGUGAAGCCUACCACAUUUGGGUAGUCAAACUGAAAACCUACCUGCAGGCAUUUGACUUUUGGGAAGCUAUCAAUGCUGAUGUUAAACCACCACCCUUGAGAGCUAACCCAUGGUAGCUCAAAUCAGGCAGCACUUUGAUGACAAAGCCAAGAGGUAUAAGGCAAUGUCAUGCAUCCAAAACAGUGUGUCAGACUUGAUUUUCACAAGGAUCAUGGCCUGUGAGACUCUAAAACAGGCUUGGGACAAGAUUAAAGAAGAGUUUCAAUGCACUGAAAAAACAAGACAACAACAAAUUUUAAACUUAAGAAGGGAUUUUGAAAACCUAAAGAUGAAUGAGUCAGAGAUAGUUAAACAAUACUCAGACAGGAUUAUGGCUAUUGUGAACAGCAUCAGAUUGCUUAGAGACCAAUUCAGUGAAGCCAGAAUAGUAGAGAAGGUUAUUUCAACCUUACCAGAGAGAUAUGAAGCCAAAAUCUCUUCCUUGGAAGACUCAAGAGGUCUGUCAAACAUCUCUUUGACUGAACUAGUCAAUGCCCUCUAUGCUCAAGAACAAAGAAGAGCUAGCAGACAGGAUGAGCAUCAAGAAGGUACCUUUUAAGCCAAGAGCAAACCAACAUCGAGCUCCUUUGGCUAUAAAGGGAAGAAAACUUGGUCAAACAAGCCUAGAAGAGAUGGAGCAAGAAGAAGGUAUCCACAUUGCUCUCUUUGUAAAAGGAUUAGCCAUUCAGAAGCAAACUGCUAGUAUAGACCUGAUGUGCAGUGUAAAAUUUGCAAACAAAUGGGCCAUGUUGAGAAAGUGUGCAAGAACAAAAACUAACAAAAGGAACAUCAAACUCAGCAGCCUAAAACAGAAGCUCAAAUGGGAGAAGAGAGUUGUAGUCAGGAAGAACAAGUAUUUUUUGUCUCUUGCUCAGCUACCAAAAGAAAAGCCACAAAAGGGUGGCUGAUUGAUAGUGGUUGCACAAACCACAUGACACCUGAUGCUGCUAUUUUCAAGAGCAUUGAUAGAAGCUUUAACACUAGAGUAAAAGUGGACAAUGGACAUUACAUUAAAGAAGAAAGCAAGGAGAUGUGCUGAUUGACACUCCUUCAAGUACCAAACUUGUUUCUAAUGUUCUAUUAGUACCUGAAAUUGAUAGAAAUUCUAAGUAUUGCUCAGAUUUUUGAAAAGGGAUACUCUGUAGUAUUCAAAGGCAAAGAGUGCCUGAUUAGUGAUCCAAGUGGAUCCAAUCUCAUGUCAGUAACCAUGACUGAUAGAAGCUUUCUUGUUGAUUGAAACAAGAUUUCAGUUAGUGCCUACACAACUGCAUUAGAUGAAUCCAAACUGUGGCACAAAAGGUUUGGCCAUGUCAAUUAUAAGUCUUUACUGCACUUGUCUAAAGAAGACUUUCUUGAAAAUUUCACAAAAACAGUUUGAAAACAGGAUGUUUGUGAAGUGUGUCAGCUAAGAAAGCAAGCUAGACUACCAUUUCCUACUAAUAAGGCCUAGAGGGCCUCUAAAAAAUUGCAAUUUGUCCACACUGAUAUGUGCGGCCCUAUAAAGACUGAAUCUUUGAAUGGCAGCAAGUAUUUCAUCAUUUUCAUUGAUAACUACUUAAGAUUCUGUUGGGGCUAUUUUCUCAAGUAUAAAUCAGAAGUAGCUUCAGUGUUUUCAAAGUUCAAGGCUAUAACAGAAACUCAGUCAUGGUGCAAGCUUAAGACACCAAGGUCAAACAAUAGGACAGAAUACACCUCAGCAGUGUUUCAGACCUUUUGUGAGGAAUCAGGCAUUGAACACCAACUCACCAACACCUAUACACCUCAGCAGAAUGGUGUUAGUGAGAGAAAGAAUCGAACUCUGAUGGAUAUGGCCAGAUGCUUGUGUUUGAAAGGAAUUUGCCAAAAAGCUUUUGGGCUGAGGUAGUUAGUACUGCAAUAUACCUUCAAAACAGGCUACCAACUAAACCACUGCUUGAAAAAACACCAUUUGAAGCUUGGUUUGGGUUCAAACCAUCAGUUUCUCACUUGAAGGUCUUUGGUUGCAUAUGUUAUGCACAUAUUCCUGUAGUCAAGAGGGACAAAUUGGAAAAGAAGUCUCAGCCUAACAUUCUAGUUGGCUAUAGCAAUGUCAAGAAGGGCUAUGAGAUUCUGGAUCCUACAACUUACAAAGUCUUUUUGAGUAGAGAUGUUGUGUUUGAUGAGAGAUCAAGCUAGAAUUGGGAUAAAAGUGAACCAGAAUGUGCUGGUCAAGACUUGGUGACAGGGCAAACCGAAGCUGAUAAAAAAUGUCCUAAGAUGGACAUAUAUCAUGAGCCUGUUAGGGGAACUAGACCACUAAGUGAAAUAUAUGAGAGGGAAAAUGUAACUAUUAUUGAGCCAAUUUGUUUUGAAGAAGCUCAAGCUCAAGAAGGCUAAAGGCAAUCCAUGCUUGAUGAAACGAGCAUGAUUCACAAAAACCAGACCUUAGAGUUAGUUGCAAGACUAGUUCACAAGAAGGUCAUUGGAGUAAAAUAGGUGUUUCAAGCCAAGCAUAAUACUAAUGGAACUUUGAACAAGCUAAAAGCAAGGUUGGUUGUGAAGGGGUUUUGUCAGAAAUAUGGGAUUGACUACCUUGAAACAUUUGCACCAAUGGCAAGGCUUGAUAUAAUCAGAUUAUUGGUUGCAUUAGCUGCUCAAAGGUAAUGGAAAAUACAUCAACAUGACGUAAAAUCUAUCUUCCUCAAUGGAUUUCUUGAUGAGGAGAUAUAUGUUGAACAACCAGAAGGUUUUAAAGUUGCUGGUGAAGAAGACAAAGUUUACAAGCUAAAAAAGGCCUUCUAUGGCUUAAAAUAGGCACUAAGGGCAUGGUAUGACAGAAUUGACACGUAUCUAGCAAGCUUGGAGUUCGAGAGAAGCAUUAGUGAGCAAACACUAUAUGUAAAAAAGGAAGGUGAUGAAACACAGCUCAUAGUCUCCUUGUAUGUGAAUGACUUACUGGUAAUAGUAGGAAAUAACGCUAUGCUGUCUGAAUUUAAAAGCAAGAUGGAGACUGUGUUUGAAAUGUCAGAUUUGGGUGAAAUGUCCUGCUUCCUUGGCAUGGAAGUGUCUUCGACUCAACAAUGAAUUUUCUUAAGCCAAAAGGCAUUUGCCUUGAAAAUUCUGAAUAAAUUCUCCAUGCAAAAUUGCAAGGCAACUAGCACACCAGUUACUGUUGGAGAAAAAUUAUCAAGCCAAUGUGAUUUCGAGAAAAUGAAUGAAUCAACCUAUAGGAGCCUAGUGGGAUGUUUGCUUUACUUAACAGCCACAAGGGCAGGCAUAAUGUAUGCAGUUAGUCUCAUAUCUAGGUUCAUGCACUGUUGCAAUGUGAACUACUUUCAAGCUACAAAGAGAGUCCUCAAGUAUAUUAAAGGCACUCUGAGCUUUGGGAUGAUGUUUACCUAGGUUGACAGCAUGAAGCUCCUUGGUUUUGCUAACAGUGACUAGGCAGGAUUGAUAGAUGACAUGAAAAGCACCUUAGGGUAUCUGUUUACCCUUAGUUCAGCUGUUUUCUAUUGGAGAUCAAAGAAACAGUACAUUGUAGCUCAAUCAAUAGCUGAAGCAGAAUAUGUAACAGCUGCAGAGUAAUUUGGUUAAGGAAGAUCAUGGUAGAUAUAAACUUGCAUCAAAGAGAAGCAACAUAGAUCAAAUGUGACAACCAAUCUGCUGUUGCAAUUGCAAAGAAUCCAGUGUUUCAUGGGAAAACAAAGCAUUUUAAGAUCAAGUUGCAUUUUGUUAGGGAAAUGGAACAAUCUCAAGAAAUCAGACUGGUUUAUUGCAGUUCUGAAGAUCAGUUAGCAGAUUUCUUGACAAAGCAUCUUUGUGUGUCAAGGUUCAAGAAUUUGAGAGCCAAGUUGGGAGUUUGCAGCAUGGAAGCCAAGGAGGACUAUUAGAGGUUGGCUUACAUGCAGCUCUUGAGAUCGGGCCAUGCAAUUAGCAGCUAAAGCACAUGCAGCUGUCAUUUUGAUGUUUUUGAUGAUGUCUUGUUUUAGUUACAAUUGAACUAAGUUUGUAAUGAAUUUGUUGUAAUUUGGUGCUGAUAGAUUUGAUAAAUCAACUUAACCAAGCGUGCAAGCAAUGUUUUAUAAGUUUCAAGACAUUGUUAGUAGAGUUAGGUGUGUUUAGGUGACACUUUCAUGAUUUUGACAAAUUAAUUACUUGUUAUAUGUAAUGUUUGGUGUUUCAGUUGAUCAAUGAAUCACUUUUUAUCAAAAUUCUUGUUUCUGCUUUAAUCCAAGCUAUCUUUUCUUGUUCUUCUAGCCCGUGUUUCUUCUUUUGUUCAGCAAGUCACUAUUGCUUAAAGCUUAAGACUUUGCUGUAAUUGCUUAGUGAUAAGUCUCAAGUCCAACACAUGGUUUGUUGGUGGGAGUUUAUUUGUUGUCAGGUUUUCUAUGUUAUGGUUCCUGGUUUGUUGUUUGAUGAUUCGAUGGAUGGACGCAGAAGUUGGAGAAAAGAUAGAGUAUAAAUUGAGACAAAAGAUAAAAUAGUAAAGGCCAUUCUGUUUUAUUUUUCCAUAAUAUUAUACAAACAGUCAACCAUGUAUAUACACAUAGCACUGACAUGAUUGUGAAGGCCUACACACUUUCUAAUGGUUGUACUGGCUAUCAAAAUUUAUUACCAUAACAGUAGUAAAGGUAAUGCAGCAGCAGGCAGCACAUUAUUAUUUAAUUUUGAUAGCCUUAGUUACCAGCAUAGCUUGAUGAAGAAGCAAAGGCAGUUAUGCCUCUAACUCAAAUGAUGCCUUCAUUGUGGGUGAACGACUCACGGGAUCAAUUUCAAUAGAUGCAAUGUACCCAAACUUUGUAACUUUAAAUUUUGGUUUUCCUCUUUUCUCAAGGUUGGUUUUGAUUUGCCCCCAGUGAAUAGGUUGCCUUUGGAUAUCAGUAUAGACCUGCAGCAUGCACGCAAAUGGCAUGCAAAUGGUCAUAGAUUAAAUGAUUAUAUAUACGCAUUCUAACUAGUUAAUUAAUGAUAAGAUUGAAUUGAAUGCAACAAAUACCUUGCUGUUCUCAUCUAGUGGGUUGCUCCAGGCAACAACCCACUUGGUUCCAUCACGUCGCCUGUACACAAGACCAGCAACUGAACCAUGACUAUCAGCAUCAUCAGUCACUGAUUCAUGUGUAAACUCACUCGAAUCUCCAUCUUCAAUUAUUUCUGGGAAAUCCGCAUAAUGAGAGCCUUGCCAAACUUUCUUGUCAGUCAAGGUUAGAGCUUCGCUGGAAGAGUUCCAAAGCUUGCCGUUUGUGCAUUGUUGAGCUCUUUUCAUUUGAAAAUUAGCCAUGGUAGCUUUGUAUGUGCUUUGGUUAGCUAAAGUUUGUUUUGGUUGUGUUAUGCUUCAAAUAUUGCAAUACACACCUACUUAUAUACUAGUUUACACCAUGCAUGCAUUGUCCAUAACAACAACGUUUAUGCGCAUGAAAUUAUUUGACUUCAUUCACAUUAAAACUUUUUUAUAUUCUUUUUCCCUUUUUUUAUUCAUAUUCUUGAUGUGUCUUUUCACUUUUAAGUACAAAUUCUUGUCAAUUAAAGAAAUAUUUUUAAAGUAUUUGGAUUUUUUUGAUAAAGUAUUAUUUUUUAAAUUAAAUAAUUAACAAUAUAAAGGUAAACUACUUCCAUUAUGAUCUAAACUAUUAGUAAGUUUAUGUUUUGGUUACUCAAUUUAAAAAAACAAACUACAAAUUGAAUAUUAAACUAUUCAAAAAUUUUAUUUAAGUCACUGAGCUAUUAAAGUUAUUGUUGUAUGGCCUUCUCUAUUUGCACCACCUGUAUCUAUCAAAAGUUCUCAUUCCCCUUCUCUUCUACAAUUCACUUUCUUCUCAAGAAAUAACUUUUAACCUCGUGAAUCUGCGAACCAAAAUUCAAACAAAUUUUUUCUCCCAUCACUGACAUUGAUAGUCAAAUCAACUUGGAUCUAAAAUAUGUUCUACUACUUGUCAAUGGUUUUUGAUCCACCAUACCGAUCAUUAAAUCAUUACUUGAAGCUUGCUAGCAGGACUUUAAAAUAAAACUUUAAUAACCUAGUGACUUCAAUAAAAACUUUCAAAUAGUUCAAUGACCAUUUUAUAAUUAUUUAAAAUUGAAUAAAUAAAAGUUAAAUUUACUAAUAAUUUAAUAUGAAUAAAAUAUAAUUGUUGGGGACUCAAACUAAACUCACAUCACAUAAUUAAAUAAAUAAUUUCAGCGGAUGUAUUACAUAAAAAAAUUAGUACAUAAUAAAAAAAGUCAUCUCAAAAUUAAAAACUUCAAAAAUAUACUUAAAUCUUAAUUAUAUAUUUUUAAGAAUUAUUGAAAUAAUUUUCUUUUACUAACUAGUGUCAGUUGCUAGUACUUACACAACUCCAUGUACAUCAUUAUCCUGGUAACCUAAUAGUCACCAAAGCAUAAGUAUACAUAUAACUAGCGCGACUUAAACUCAAGCUACAAUUGAGAUGAAUACCUUUAACCAUCAAGCUAUUAUAUGAGAUUCAUAUUAAAUUUUAAUAUGUUAAUGAUAUGUUUGAAAUAUUUUUUAUAUUGAUACUGUAUUCAUAUUAAUAAUUAAAUAACUUUAAAUGUAAUUUAAUUUUAAUAACAUCAACCAUUUUUUCAUUAAACUUUGAAUCCCUUUGAAAAAAUAGUGAUUUGUGUAUUAAGCAUAAAUUUUUUGUUGGAAAAAAAGGGAAUAAAUUUUUUGUUGGAAAAAAAGGAAAAAAACUUUGCAUUUGAGAUGCUGAAAGGCUAAGGUAUUAAAGCAAUGAGACUUUUAGUAUGGAAAUGAAUUUUGUUAUAUUAUAAAAUAUGCUUGAAUGGAAAGUUUUGUUUUUAUUUUCAUUAUAACAAACUAAAAUGAAUUAAUAUAUUAACUAAUAAACAUGGCUAUCAAAUUGUUAAUUGAUUGGACCACUAGAGGUUCUUCUGCAUUCUUAUGAUGUGAUUCUGGUGUUUAGCUUUGUCUGAUGUUACUCCUUUGUUAUGUUGGAUCCUUGGAAUUUGCCUCAUGAUUUUUCUCAAACGCAUAAUAAAUUUUACUUAAUUUUUCGUCAAUUUAUAUUAAAAUAGAUAAAUAAAAGUUAAUAUCUGUUAACUUUGCUGAUAUCACACAUACGUGAAUGACGCAUUAACAAUAAAUUAAUAUUUUAAAAUUUCAAAAUUUAAAAUUAUUAAAAAAGUAUAUAAUAUAUUUUUAAUCUUUUAAAAAUUAAUCAAUUGCUAACGUAGUAUACAUGUGGCAGUCCAUGUAGACUGACGUUAACAAAUAAUAUAAGUUCAAAAAAUAAAAUAGACAAAAAUUUAAGUAGAAAUUUAAAAUAAUUUUUUUAUAAAAUUAAAAAGUCAAAUAAAUAAUUAAAAAAAACACGUAGAAACAUACAAGUAACAAUUUCAACAUUGAAGUUAUCUCUACAGAAAAUACGGAUCUGUAUAUUCUUAUUCAACCAUGAAUUCAAUAUAUAAUUUUUAACUUUAAAUAUGAGAUAAUAUUUGAUGCAUUGUUAGUUUUUAAGUUUUAUGUACCAUCAAUUAAUAAUAUGAAACAUCAUUACUGGUAUAAAAUAAAAAGUAUUGAAAGACUUGAAAAUAAAUACAUUUAAUUUUAUUUUUUUAUUUAAACAUAAUUAAAUAUUAGCUAUAAUUUUUAUUGAUCUUUCGGAUUUUAGAUUCCAAUUUCUUUUGGGUUUUUAUUGGAAAAUAUGGACAUCACAUACAUAAUAAGGAUAAUUGAUAGGUUAGCCUAAAUUAAAACUGAUCUAAUUUGGUUAGAAUUUUAUUGGGUUUUAAUUAUUAAAUAAAGUAUGGGUUAAAUAUGUGUAGAUACUCUAGUAAUUGAGUUCUAAUCAACUUCUAAUUAGAAUUUGAUUAGAAUUAAUAUGCCAAGGUCAUAAAUAUUAGGGUUAUGGUUCCCAAAUUAUACACAAUAUAUCUUUUCUAAUAUCUCAUCAUUAGGAAAGAGAGAGUAGAUAUUUUCUGAAUUUCUUGUGGAUCAAAUCCUCAAGAUAUGGUAAAAAUUUAAGGAAUUCAUGGAUUCAAGUAUGCUUCCGCAUGUAGUUUUGUUCUUGAUUUAUUCUUGAUGAUUUGACAUGAUAGAUCCUGGUUUAUUCAGUUUUAUUUUAGAUUUAUUUUAUAAAUCUAAUAAGUGGCAUCCGAGCCUCGUCAUGUUGACUCAUUAAGAACGAAUUAAUUCUCUAUUUUUUUUGAUUCAUUUAUUUUUUAGAUUUUAUGAAUUUAUUAUCUCAAUUAUAAACAUUAAAUCUUUUAAAUUUAUAUUAAAUAUUUUAGGGUUUGAAAUAGAAAUUGGGCAAGUGAUAAUGCUUAUGAGGAUUUAUGUUGAAAUUUUAGGGUUUUAAAUUUUUUUUAUGAAUUUGGUUUUUGAGGAAAUUGUUGUGUGAAUCAAAUUAUAGUUUAUUUAUAUUUUUAGAUUAAAGUUUUGUUAAAAGUUGAUAUUGAUGCUUGCGUUUCAUUACGAAAUCAGACACAUUGAUUUUUCUUUAAUAAUUAUGCAUCUAUUUAAAAUAUAUAUAUAGAAAUUGAUAUAUGUUUCGUUUAUAUAUAUAUAUAUAAUAUGCAUGCUUUAAUUGGUUUAAUGCAUGUUGUUUUGGAAAAUUAUAUAAAUAUAUAUGAUUAUCUUUUAAUUUGAUUGAAAGAUGAAAUUAAGGUAAAUACUUUGAAACAAAUAAAUUCAGAUUUUAGCUUUUAAUUAAGGAUGUCUACUAUUUUAAAUAAAUUAGUUGAAAUAAAAUGCCACCAAAAUGACAUCUUUUGUGUAGAUUAGUUUAUUUGAAAUAUUAAGAUGAUUAUAUGUUUUUAUGAUUCAUGCGUUUAUUGAUUGACCCAAAGUUAAAUUAAUAUUUGACAGAAUUUCAACGACAUAUGUGGUGAUAAAUGUGUGACAAUUUUAAGGUAUUUUAUGUGAGCAAUAAGUUAGUCCAAAGAUUAAUUCACGGUUUGACAUAAUUUAUUGUCAAUGUUUGAUUGCUACAACAAGAGUACCGCUUACUGUUAAUAUUACUGUCCAAAGCUUUGAUAUUAAUGUUGUGUUUGGUAUCUUGUGAUGGGAUUAGUCAUUAUCUUGAAUUUAUUAUUUACUUAUGAAUAUUGAUUUAAGCUUGUUUUUGUUCUAUAUUUAGCUAAUUCAUCUUCUACUGCCACAAUAUCUGCUAAUAUAAAUUCUAUACCUAUGCUUAAUAGGACUAAUUUUAAGGAAUGAAAAAGGAACUUACUUAAAGUGCUUGGUUGUAUAGACAUAGACCUUACACUAAGGGAAGAACAAUCUGCACCUCUCACUGUGGAAAGCACCCCUGGUGUUAAGAGGGAUUUUGAGAGGUGGGAUCGUUCAAAUCGCAAGAGUCUAAUGAUCAUGAAACACAGCAUUUUAGAAGCUUUUAAGGGCACAUAAUCUGAAAGAUUACUCAGGCCAAGGGUUUCAUUGAUGAAAUUGAAAAAUCUUUUGCUAAAAAUGAUAAGAUUUAGAUGACAUCACUUCUGACUUCUUUGAUGUUUAUGAAGUAUAAAGGUCAAGGAAACGUAAGGGAGUACAUUAUGAAGAUGUUCCAUACUGCUUCAAGACUUAAGACACUUAAGAUCAAACUUUCUGAGGAAUUGUUUUUUCUUAUGGUUUUGGUAUCGCUUCCUGCCCAGUUUAAUCAAUUUAAAAUUAGUUAUAACUGUCAAAAGGAGAAAUGGAUCCUAAAUGAGUUCAUUUCUCAUUGUGUGCAAGAGGAAGAAAGGUUGAAGGAUGAUAAGUCUAAAAGUGUUCAUUUGGCCAAUGCCCCUAAAGAUAAGGGCAAUAAAAGAAAAUAUCAGAAUAAAGCUGCUAAAGGUCUAGCUCAAAAGAAACAACAAGAAGCUAUAGAGAGUUGUUUCUUUUGUAACAAGUCUGGACACGUAAAGAAAGAUUGUACCAAAUAUCAUGCUUGGCAUGCAAAAAAAGGUAUAAUUCUUAAUUUGGUCUAUACUGAGAUUAAUUUAGCUUUAAUACCUAGAAACACUUGGUGGAUAGAUUCUAGUGCUACUACUCACAUAAGUUUUUCUAUGUAGGGUUGCCUAAGUUACUGAAAGCCAAGUGAUGGUGAAAGACACAUCUUUGUGGGCGAUGGAAAAUCAGUAGAAGUGGAAGUGAUUGGGAAUUUUAGGUUGUUACUAGGAACUGGUUUUUAUUUGGAUUUAAAAGACACUUUUAUUGUACCGUCAUUUAGACAGAAUUUAGUUUCUAUUUCUUCGUUGGACAAAUUUGGAUAUUAUUGUUCAUUCAAAAACAAUCAAUUAAUUUGUCUUUAAAUUCAAAUGUUAUUGGAACUAGUUAUUUAAAUACUUAUGACAACCUUUAUUUUCUAGAAACAGUUGCAUCCUAGAAUGAAACCUUGCAUGUGGAAUCACAUGGUAUUAAACACAAAUUAAAUAAGGAAAACUCAUCAUCAUUAUGGCAUAGGUGCUUAGGUCAUAUCUCAAAAGUUAGAUUUGGAUACCUUGUGUUUGAUGGAAUUUUAGAGUCCCUUGACUUCACAGACUUUGAUGUAUGUGUUGAUUGCAUUAAGGGAAAAUAGACCAAAACCAAGAGAUUAGGUGCCAACAGAUCUUCAGACGUCUUAGAAUUAAUUUAUACAGAUAUUUGUGGGUCAUUCCCUAUGGCAUCCUAGAAUGGUCAAUAAUAUUUCAUAACAUUGAUAGACGAUUAACCACGUUAUGGGUACCUAUAUCUCAUUCAUGAGAAAUCUUAGUCUUUGGACAUGUUCAAAGCUUAUAAAGCUAAAAUUGAGAAUCAACUCAAAAAAAGGACUAAAAAUGUCAGAUUAAAUCGUGGUGGUGAGUACUACGGUAGAUAUGAUGGCUUAGGAGAACAAUGUCUAGGACCAUUUGCGAAAUUCCUAGAGAAAUGCAGUAUUGUCCCACAGUACACCAUGCUAGGAUCAUCUAGUAUGCCUGGUGUAGCUGAAAGAUGAAACAUGACUCUUAAGGAUAUGGUAAAGAGCAUGAUUGCUCAUUCUACCUUACCUGAGUCCCUCUGGGGAGAAGCAUUAAAGAUAGCAGCUUACAUUCUAAAUAGAGUACCGAAUAAAGCAGUUGCAAAAACACCUUAUGAGCUUUGGACAGGUCAAAAACCUAGCCUAAAGCACUUUCACACUUUGGGAUGUCUAUCUGAGGCAAGGCCUUAUAGGCUACAUGAAAAGAAAUUGGACUCCAAAACAGUAAGCAACUACUUUAUUGGUUAUUCUGAGCGAUCUAGGGGCUAUAAAUUUUAUGAUCCCAUAAUAAGGAAUAUUUUUGAGAUUGGAACUACAACAUUUUUUGAGGAUGUUGAGUUCGGGGAGAAAUAAGGUUAGAGACAUUGCUUUUGAGGAAGAAUUGGGUUCUAACUCAAUUCCUACUAUCUUUUUUUAUGAUUUUUAGGUUCUUAUACCUAUCAUUGAUCAAGAAGUGAAUCUAGAACCUCUAUAAGACAAUGUUGAACAACUCCUCAUUCAAAAUGAGGUGAUUGUUCCAGAAGAACAAACUCAACAACCUCAAGAACAAGUGUCAUUAAGUAGGUCUACAAGAGAAAGGAGAAAUGUUAUUCCAGAUGAUUAUAUUGUAUUUCUCUAAGAACAUGAGGAUGAUAAUGGAAUGAUGGAAGAUGAUACAAUCAACUUUCAUCAAGCCAUGAAAAGUUCUAAUUCUCAAAAGUGGAUUGAUGCCAUGAAAGAUGAGUAUAAAUCUAUGCAAGACAAUAAAGUUAGGGAACUUGUCCCAUUACUUGAAGGUGCAAAACCAAUUGGUUGUAAAUGGAUAUUUAAAACCAAGAGGGAUACAAACGGUAAUGUGGAGAGGUAUAAGGUGCGUCUUGUAGCUAAACGAUAUACUCAGAAACAAGUUAUUGAUUUUACAGAGACUUUUUCUCUAGUUUCAUCAAAACACUCCUUCAGGAUAAUCAUGGCGCUUGUUGCUCAUUUUGAUCUUUAGUUAUAUCAGAUGGAUGUUAAGACUACGUUUCUUAAUGGCAACAUUGAAAAAAUAAUUUAUAUGGUGCAACCAGAAAAUUUUGAGUCGGAAGAUUCAAAGAAUAUGGUUUACAAAUUGACAAAAUCCAUUUAUGGACUCAAACAAGCUUCCUUUUUAUGGUACCACAAGUUUCAUCAAAUAAUUAUUUCGUUCGAUUUUGAGAUGAAUAUUGCUAAUAAUUGUGUGUAUCACAAAUUCAAUGGGAGUAAGUACAUCUUUCUGGUUCUUUAUGUUGAUGACAUUUUGCUUGCCGCUAAUGAUAUAGGCUUAUUGCACAAAACCAAGAGGUUUUUAUCUAAGCAUUUUGAGAUGAAAGAUCUUAGGGACGCCACUUUUGUUUUAGGAAUUCAAAUACAUCGAGAUCGAUCUUGAGGUAUUCUUGGAUUAUCACAAAAGAUUUAUAUCAAUAAAGUACUCAAAAGGUUUGGCAUGCGGAGUUUUAGACCAAGUGACACCCCUGUUGCUAAAGGAGACAAAUUUAGUCUUACUCAAUGCCCUAAAAGUAACCUUGAAAUUCGGGAAAUGAAAAAGAUUCCCUAUGCAUCAACUAUUAGGAGUUUAAUGUAUGCUCAAGUAUGUACGCGUCCGGACAUUGCAUACAUUUUUGGGAUGUUAGGCAGAUAUUUAAGCAACCCUGGUAUAGACCAUUGGAUAGUAUCCAAAAGGGUUAUGAGAUAUCUUCAGAGAACAAAAUAUUACAUGCUUACUUAUAAGAGAUCAGAUUUUUUGGAGGUUGUAGGGUAUUCUGAUUCUGAUUUUGUCGGGUGCCAAGAUAGUAGGAAAUCUACAUCAGGCUAUAUUUACCUAUUAGCUGAAGGAGCUAUAUCUUGGAAAAGUGUCAAACAGACACUUGUAGCUUCGUCCACUAUGCAGUAGAGUUUGUAGCAUGCUAUGAGGCAUCAAACCAUGGAAUAUGGUUGCGAAACUUUGUCACAGGGAUGCACAUUUUGGAGAAUGUAGAAACAACACUCAAAUUAUUUUAUGACAAUAAGUCAGCAGGGCUGUACAUGAGUUCAUCUAAGUCAAAGCAUAUUAACAAAAGUUUCCAUCUCUUUAUUCAUUUUUAUAGGCUUUACUUUUGUUAGGAUUUGUCUUUCAACAAAAUCAAUUUCAUAUGGUAAUGUUACUUCAUGCUUUUUCCUAUUCCAAAAGGCAUUAGAGAUGUUAGAAUAUAUUGUUGACUCGAUUUCUGUUUUGAUUUGAUUUAUUCUUUUUUGAUCUUUUGUUUUUUCUAAUUGUUCAUUUAAUUUUUUUAAAACAUAUUUCUUCUUUAAGAAUAAAAAAUUAUUCUAUUUAUGAUUAAUUAAAUUAUUGAUUCGUAAUGAAUAAAAAUGUUAAUAAGUUAAGAUUUUUAAUAUUGUGAUUUGUUACUUUGUAAGGUUUGAGUAAAGAUAUAAAGGGGUUCCUAAUAUAAUGUCUUAGGUAAUAUCUUUUAUCAUUAAAAAACAUGUUUGAUGUUUGAUAUCUUUAUUACAAAUUUCUACAUUAGGGAUUUUGAUAUGUGUCUUGAUUUUCCACAUCUAUAACAUUUUAUCGUUUUAUCUUUUUUUUUCGAUUUUUGUUGUUUCUGUUAUUUACUAUAUUUCCUAUACUUUGAUUUUUUUUAUAAUAUUCUGAAAUAUUCUUUCAUAUAUUUUUUCAUUUUAUAGGGAAACAUGUUUUUGAAGAAGAAGGUUCAUUUCUAAUGUCAAAUUGGUGGCAGAAUGAUAGGCAAUGGUAGCAAUUUAAAAAUUCUCAUAGUAGAAACCCCUUGUAGGAAAUAAGAAAAUAAAAUGAUGUUUCCUUAGAGAACCAAUUCUUCUACAAGCUUUACCUCUAACCAAUACCAAGAGUUUGAUCAAACCUCAAACAACAAUGUUAAUGAAUAAGAACAUUAUGAAAAUGUUCACCGAUGUAUACUAUUUUUAAACCCUUCAAAUUUUUAUUUUACACUAGUAAUAAUGUGUCAUUUUAUUAUCACUUGAUGGUACAUAAAAUCUAUGCACCUAUGGUUAGGGGUGAACAAAGCUCGAUUCGAUUUGAAAAAAUUGAAAAAAAAAUCAAAUUUUGAGUAAUUCGAGUUUCGAGUUCGAGUCGAGUUGAAUUUUACAAUUCGAAUAAUAGAUUGGUGUAAAUACCCCUUUAAUCCAUGUCAAUUUUGAAAAUGAGCAAAUUGAUCUCUCUCAACGAAAAAUACAAAAUAACUCAAAAUAAUUUUUAAAAUUCAAAAUAUUUAUAAAAAUUCCAAAAUUUAUAUUUUUAAAAAAUAAAAAUAUUUCUAAAAAAUAUAUAAAGAAAUUUAAAAUUUUAUUUUUUUCUAAAAUAAUAAAUUUAGAGACCUAAAUAAGUUAAUUAAUGAUUCAAGUUUAUAAUUCUAAAGUAUCUUAUUAUUAUUAUUAUUAUUAUUAUUAUUAUUAUUAUUAUUAUUAUUAUUAUGCUUUGAAAAAGUUUUCAAAUAUAUAUAGUUUCAAUUGUAGGUGUUCUAGCAUUAAAUUAAUUAUACUAUAGCAAAAUUUUAAUUUGAUAUAUUUAAUUUUUUAAUUAACUGAACAAUUUCACUUGAUUCGAUUCGACUUGAAUUUCAUUUCACUCAAUUCAAUUUGAAAAAAAUUAAUCAAAUUAGAAUGAUAAAAUAGGAUUUAUCAACUUGAUUAACUUGAAUUUUUUUUACUAGAUUCAAUCGAACGCUAACCCCUACCUACGGUACAUUAAAUAUUCUCCCUAUAUUAUUAUUAUUAUUAUUAUUAUUAUUAUUAUUAUAGUUUUGGCUUUAUUUUAUUUGCACUUUGUAAUGACGUGAGAUAUUUCUAAGAUUACAAAUUAUUAUUAUUAUUAUUAUUAUUAUUAGCCAUAAAAACAUAAAAACUUUAAUUAUAUCAGAAAAUACAAAAAGUUAUGGUAAAAAACUUGACUCAGAAGUACAAGAGAGCCACAACUACCUCACUGUAAAACUAACUUCAAUAUCAGUUCGAAGGGGGAGUAGGAAAUUCAUCCUUGUCAAGAAUGAACACCAAAGAAGUUGGUGGUUGUCAAGUCCAACCUGUAACGCCUUGAAUAGUUUAAAUAUAUUUUUGUGAAAUUUGACAUAAAGGUGUAUUUGCUCAGUAGUUAAGUGUUUUAGGUGUGUGUAUCAGGUCUUGGGUUCAAGUCUCAUAUUUGGGGAAAAAAUUUAUUAUUAUUUAUUCAAGCAUUAUCCCUGUUAGGCAGGCUUAUAAAAUAUUGUUUGUUAAUCUAUAUCAAAAUGAGCCUGCUUGUUUGAGUGGUAAGGACUUAGUGUAUUGGAGGUCUUGUGUUUGAAUCUGUGCGUGAGUGUGAGUGUUAAUUUUUAUUUCUGUUGCCUGAUAGAGGUUCGGUGGAACUGGAACUCUGAGGUUGUUGGAUGAGAAUCUGAUGUCAGUUUUGGUGGGAUUUGUUGUUAGUGGGUUAGUCGGGGGAGUUAGGAUUUUCGUUAAUUUUGAUUUAUUUUACUUUUUUUUUAAAAUUUUUAUCUUUUCCCAAAAACCUCUCCCCUUUUUAAUUUUUUUUGUUUCCCACUAUCAAUUUUCUUUCUUUUUCAUCUUAUCGAUUUCUAUCUUCAUCUCCCUGUUAAAUUACAGUGCUUCGAUUCCCUUUUUUUGUACGUUUGGUAAGUGGUGGUAGUAAGGUUUUUGCUUGAGUUAAGGAGAAUUCUUUUAAAUCCGUUUAAAAAUGAUGUUGUCUUUUUCAUUAGUUCUAAUUUUUGGGUUGUUGGCAGCAGCGAAUCGGCAGGAUCGGAGCUCUCUUCUUGUGGAAUCGUAAUAUCGAGGAUCAUUCGGGAAGUUGGGUAAGUAAUGAACGCUUGGGUCUCGCUGUGAUCAAUUUAUUAUUUUGAUUUAAUUGAGGAUGCAAGACUAAUUUUGGGACGUGCUUUGUCGAUUUUUAGGUUCUUGUGGUCUCAGGAUUGUUUUCACAGCAAAAACAAACCAGGUGUGCACCUUAAACACGAAAAUUGAGGUUCGAAAAAAGCCGAAAAAUUGCACUGUUGACGCCACACGGGUGUGCACCCAGCUGUAUGGUUGGCCAUGUAUAAGACACAGUCGUGUGACUGACGAAGAUGUGGCCGUGCACAUGACACGACCUUGUGUCAGUGUGAGUGUAGUCGUGUGGGCCACACUAGCUAAGUCAGAUUGGGCGUGUGGGUUUAGGGUCAGGCCAUGUAGGCCACAUGAGCAAGGCCAAUCUAGGAGUGUGGGCCUACGUGGGCAGGCCACAUAGGCAUGUAGGCCCAGAAUUUUGAAAUUUUCCCUAGGGUCGCACGGGUCGUUUCGAUUGACUGUGGACCUACUGUAAGGUCGGUAAAGGCUAACCAAACCCUAAUUCAUGUGAUCUGAUAUUUUGAUAAUCUGAUUUGAGUAGGACAUUGAUAUGUAUGUAUGACUGUUCUGUUUGAGUAUAUAUAUAUGUUAUCUGUAUACAAGCAUGUUAGGCAUGUUAAUUCUGCUAAUUUUGAAUUUUGUAUCUGUGUUUGGGGAGAGAUUUGUAUAUGUAGAGGAAGUGAUCUAUAUGGCGACAUUUCGCCUAUAUUCUGGUAGAUCGACUACAUAUUAUCUAUGAUAUGUCGCAUCGACACUAUAUGGUAUGUAGGGAUGGUUGGGUAUUUUUAACCCCAUAUGAUGUGAUGGGAUGGAUGGAGAUGGUGUGUAGAGGAUGGGUGUAACGCCUUGAAUUUUACACCCAAAAGUUUAGAGAUUUGAGCAUAGGGGCAGUGGGGAGACUGCACAUAAAUGAUUAGUUGUGCACUCAAGUGACAAGAAUGGGCCUGUUGGUCUGGUGGUUAAGUGAGUCUUAGCAUACCUUGAAGAUCCGGGUUCGAGUUACGGGAGGCAUUUUUUUUUAGAGUCAUUGUUUUAUUUUUGUUUGUUUUAGUUAAUAAAUAUUUAGCUAUUAUAUUUUGUAAUUGUAUAUUGCUAUUUUUAUUUUUGUUUUGGACGUUCUUCUGUUUCUCUUUUUGGUUUUUGUUUCCCUUGCUUUUCUUUUUGAGGAUUAUUCGGAUUGCUUUUGAAAGUGAAUUGUCUAUGGAUUUUGGGAUUUGCACUCCUCCUUCGACUUCUUCGUCGUUGGGUCCAAUCACAACACAGGUGUGGGAUUCAAAUCUGGUUUACCUUUUCUUAUUAAUUGAUAUUUCAUUUUUUUGAAUUCCUUUCUUUCAGCUUUUCGUAACUAUACAUUAACCCCAUUCAUUUUUGGGUAUUGAGACAUUGUAAGAGAGGGGAAAGCACUAGUAUCUGAUGUACUCUUGGUGUGGUUAAGGUUAGGGACUAUUAUGGUGGCUUAAACGACGGUUUUGGACUAAUUUUGAGUGGUUUCGUGACCUCCCCGAUGACCACAUGGCUGUAUAACUCGGCACACGGCCGUGUGGAUUUAGGAACUAGGGUUUCGGGAUAAAUUGGGUACCAUACGGCCGUGUGGCUGAUUUGGGGAUUUUAUCAGAAUUCACACGAUCGUGUCCCUUCGGCACACGGGCGUGUGAGUUAGAGAAUUAGGGAUUUUGGAUUCGGAGUCAUAUGGAUGUGUGGUUGAUUUGAGGAUUUAAAGAUCCCACACGGGCAUGUGUUUCAGAACACAUGGCUGUGUCUGGUGGGCAUAUGGGCGUGUGAGACCCUCACACAGUAAUGUCUCCCCUGCACUUUAUUUUAGCGAUUUUUGACAAUGUUACAUGACCUGUUCACACGGCCGUGUCUGUAAUAUCCCGAAUUAGGGCCUAAUCGGAAUAGUGGUUUUGUGACCACAAAUCCGAGAUAGAAAUAAUUAUUUUAUAAUUAUUUUGAUGAUUAUGAUAUGAUUGCAUGAUUGUGUGAAAAUUUCGUGAUGAAAUUCUAUGCCUAAAGUGCUUAAAUUGAAAGUAAGGACUAAAUCGAAUAAGUUGCAAAACUUGCAUUCUAGAAGUUUUUUGUAUGAAAUUGUUUUGGAAUAUUAAUGAGGAGGUCUUAAAUAGCAAUUUGACCAAUUUUAAGUUCAUGGAAAAAAUUAGGACAUGGAAGGAAUUUUUGGAAAGUUUAGUAGUAAGGGUAUUUUGGUCAUUUAGUUAUUAAAAUGAAUUAAAAACAAAAUUAAAAGCCAAUUUUUGUCCAUCUUCUUCAUUAGGCCGAAAUUUCAAGGGUUCUCCAUAGCUAGGGUUUGUUUCAAGCUUCCAAGCUCCAUAGUAAGUGAUUCCAAGCCCCGUUUUUAAUGUUCUUUACGUUUUUGGAAUCCCGGUAGCUCGAUUAAGCUUAUGUUAGCAAUAAUUCAACCUAGGGUUUAUAUUUGGAAAAAUACCCAUAGGUGAAAUUUGUGUAUUUUGAUGUUUUAUGAUAGAAUAUGGGGUUUUAAAUUAUGUUAGACAACUUGUACUACUCGAUUUUAAGCAAAAACGAGUAAAAGGGCUUAAUCGGUAAAAAUACCUAAUAGUCACAAGUACAUGUUAGAGUGAGAAUUUGAUGUUGCCAUAGAAGAGAAAAGUGAUCAGCAUGUUGUAAAACAUAAGAAUAAGGAAUAAAGUUUAAUCCCGAGCCUAGGGGCAAAAAUGUAAAUAUGCAAAAGUUUAGGGGAAAAAUUGUAAUUUUGCCAAAAUUUGAGUUAAGGAUUAAUUUGAUAAUGUGGGUAUUAAAUGAGCUAAAUGUGUUAUUUUAGAUCAAGAAAGACGUGGAAUCGACCUCAAUCAAGGAAAAGAAAAGAUUGUGGACUAAAUUGCAAAAUCUUUAUAUUUUGGUACCAAGGUAAGUUCAUGUGUAAAUGUAGUAACAUAAUUGUCAUUUUAACCAAUUUAAUGUUGUUUAUAUGAUAUGAUGCUGAUUAUUAUCAUGAAAUAUUAUGCUUUGUGGUUAUUGUUGAAUAAUAUGUAAUUAUGUGAAUUACUUGAUGAGUAUGAACUAUCACCGAAGUACCGAUUUCGAUAUUCCGUGGAAGACGGCAAAGAUGUGUGAUCGAGGAAAACGCCCGUUUGAACCUUAGGAAUAGAUUAGGAUACAAGUGACAUGUCACUAGGAUGGUUGAGCAUCCAAACUCGUUGAGUUGAGUCCGAGUUCACUUAUGGAUGCGAAUGUCCGAACUCGUUGAGUUGAGUCUGAGUUCGUGAAAUGUAACUAGGCAUCCGAACUCGUUGAGUUGAGUCCGAGUUCACUUAUGGAUGCGAACGCCCGAGCUCGUUGAGUUGAGUCCGAGUUCACUUAUGGGCGGGUUACAUGGUAGCUUGAUUACAUAUGAGGCUCUUAUAUGCAAAUUAUCCAUGUAUCCGAAUUAUAUUCCGAUGUGUUCAACGGGUAAAGUUUUACUCAAAUAGAGGAAUACUCGAGAUGAAAAGAGACGUAUUGGUAAGUGAUGAGAAAUGGAUAUUUUGUACAGGUAUGUAUUUAACCCUCGGGUUGAGUGUUGAUUACAACCACGAUAAGGUAAUAAGAUGAUGGAAAAUGAUUAAAAAAUGUGAUAAGUGUGUUGAUGAUAUAUGCUAAUGUUGAUUAGUUUGAUUGUUUGUUAUGUUAUUUAUUAUUUACAUAUGAACUUACUAAGCAUUUAUGCUUACUCCCUCCUUCUUACUCAUUGUAGUUUUGGACAAGCCAGUUCAGGAGUCGGGAUAGGUUGAAGGCUCAGUCACACUAUCAGGAAGAUUUUUGGUAAAUGGCUUGUAAAUUUAAGUAUGGCAUGUAUAGCAAUAUACUUAUUUUGUGUAAAUGAUCUUAUGAUAUGGUGACAGAAUGGUUGAGAAAAUAUUUGAUAAUGAUAAAUUAUGAAAAUGGUAAGUUUAGAUUAUGUUUGAUGUUAAGGAAAACUAUUAUGAUACUUAGUGCAUAAAAACUCAUAAGAGGGAUGAAAUUUGCCAUAAACAGAAUACUGCAGCAACACUGACCCGAGUUUGAAAAUUUACUAAAAAUCAUAGCAAUUAAAUUUGGUGAUGGACUACAUAUCAAAUUUAAGCUUAUUAUGUCUAGUGUCACAUGAAACAAAUGAAACAGGUAAAGGAAUUAUAUGUUAGAAGAUAUUUGAAUUUUAGUGAAACAGGUUCAUAGCAGUUUCUGAAUCCCCUGCUCCUACUUUAGAAAUUCACCAUAAAUUUUAAAGAUAUAAUUAGGUGGUGUAUUUUAUAUCCUAAGAAUACUUAUUGAGUCUAGUUUUAGGAGAAACAAACCUCAUAGUCAUAUGAAUUUUUUACAUAGAGAAAUGUGGUUCAUAGUAAAUAGAGGUCAGACCAGUCAAGUCCUGAAAUAGGGGUAACUUUAACUAAUAAACUGUACUAAUUGGCCCAUUCAAAAAUUUUAUAAAAAAUUAGUAGAUAGGUAUAUGAGUCUAGAUUUAGGGAAAAUUUACGGAUCUUGAUUUCGAGUUUCGUAACUCGAGAUAUGAUUUUUCUUGUGACUGUGACGCAAGUAGCUUAAAAGCUGUGAAUAUAGAAACAAAUAAUCCAAAGUUCUAAAAAUGUUAAAUUAAGCUUAGUAACACCUCAUACUCGACUCCGGCGACGGUCUCGGGCGUGGGGGCGUUACAGUGUCCCCGCUUCACACAAGCGUGUGCCUCUAUCACACGGGCAUUUGGAUCACCACACGGCCUAGUUUGUCCCACACGACCGGGGCACACUGGCAUGUGGCCCUAUUUUGCUAGAUUUUGGUUUUAGGGCAAAUGUAAGUGCAAUUGGGACCUUGUAUGUUUCAACCCUUAGCUAAGCUUUAGUGAGGGUGUUUAGACUCUAAUCUGAGUUUGGAUAAUGUGUUAUUUGUGAUUGGUUGUGUGACAUGUUUGAUUCUGAACUUGGUUAGCUGGGUGAGUGUGUGAGCAACUAGUUCUAUCUGACUGUCUGACUACGUGUUAUCAAUAUGCGAGGUUAUUUUGUAAUUGAUACUGAACUCAAGUAAUGAGUGUGCACAUUUCUGAUUCUGAUUGACCAUAUAUGAGUGACUGUCUCUGGUUAACUAUCUGGAAAUUGAUAUUUUGAGUUUUGUGCAUCUGUCUGUAUACAUACAUUUGCAUGAAAUUGUUUUGGGUGGGACUUUGAAGAGAAGGAAGAUUGACUAAACUAAACUGUUAGCUAAUCUUUUGGUUAUUAGCCUUAAUACCCAGAGGGUUAUGGGCGGUCCCAAUACCCUGAGGGUCGUGGACAAUUUGACUGUACUGCGGACUACUACAUUAUACAGAACAUGCAUCAGUAUCGCUGCGUAUCAUUGACUGAACUAGAAGUUUUAUUACAACCUAAUAGUAUAGCGGUUUACCGUAUUGCGCUGUACCGCAUGUACGUUAGCUACGCUACGUACAACUAUUUGAUCUGGCAGUUUAUACUGCAUGUCUGUACCGCGGUUUAUCGCAUUGCAUGAUACAGCUUAUACUCUAGCUUUGCUGCAUAAUAUACGUGACUGGCAGUUUAUCUACAUACUGUUAGCCUCAAUACCCAGAGGGUCAUGGGUAGUCACAAUUCCUUGAGGGUCAAGGACAAUCCUGAUGGCCAAUGUUGCCGGAUAACCCGGGAUGACAUCAAUUGGAGUGCAGGGUUGGAUGGUCCUUACGAGGUCCAGAGUUGAGUGAUUGGUGGGAUGAGUUUAAAGCUCUUAUGAGGAGUAAUGAGGGACGAAGAGGUGUGUUGGCUAGAUAGGUGGGUUUCUCAUAACUCAAUUACAUUCAUAUGCAUCAUAUUGACUGCUCGACUGAAAUGUCUGAUUGACGGUUCGAUUGAAAGGCACUUGUGCCUAUGAGAAUUGUGUAGACUUUGACUGUAACUGUCUGACUAGAUAGUUCUUAUCACUGUUGAGAAUUACUGCUACUGUGCCUGAAUGGUACGUGAAACUGUGUGCGUCUGAUUGACUCAUAUGACUGUAAAGUAAUAUGGUGUAUGAUUGAUUUUGGGCGAAUUCGCUCAACUGUCAUCUGUCUGUCUGUAUGUUUUGCUUUUGAACUACUUCUAGUUCCCUAUUUUCGUUUUUGUAGUUUAAUUGGUUUGUUCUCACACUAAGCUUGAGUAGCUCACCCCCUCUUUUUUUUCCCCUUUUAGGUACAGUUUUGGAUUCUGUUGAUGGGAUCAGUACGCGAAGGUCUCAGACAGUCUCAGUGAAAGUGGAAUAUUAGUUUGUGAUUUUCAGUUUUUUUUUAUUCGUACUGUAAGAUUUUAUAAUAUUAUGGUACAAUUACUAUUUUAAACUUUUAUUCGUACAUGUUAUUCUCUUGUGGAUGGAAUUUUAAACAAUUAAACGUUUUGAUUUGUUUUAAGAUAAAAAUUGUCAGAAAUGGAAUUUUGAACGACUUGUUUUUGUAGAAAUCUUCUCAGGAUUGCUUUGGUGAUCAAUGUAGUAUUUCGAAUUCAGUCUUUACUUCUAGGCCGGGUUUGGGGUGUUACAAGGGGGGUAGGAUUCUGAAUAUCCAUUCUGUUUAUCUGAUUCUGAUAUCUGUAUCUAUUAUGGACUUAGGUCCGAAUCUGUAUCUGACUGUAUAUGAAAUAUGGUGUAUGUUACUUGGCUAUUUCUGUUGGGUUACACAGUGAGUUUACGAAAACUCACAUUUUUUUGUCUAUUCUGUUCAGAGGUAAUCUAUAGACUUAAGCGGGUUAGUGCGACAGAGGCUCAACAGUGACCACUUGACUGAGAUUUGUUUUUAUUUAGUAAUAAUGGUUUAUUUUAAAAUCUGGUUUUCUUAAGAGUUUGUAAUUUUUUGGGACUCUCUGGACUGUAUGAUUUUAACUUUUGGAUUUGGAUUUUGUUUUGUAUUUUUUUCCGCAAUGUUGACAAAAACACUAUGCAAACAAAUGGUUUUAACAAAUAGUUUUUAGAAAAACGAGCUUGGUUUUGUUUAAAAUGAUUUUGAAACUUCUACUUUGAAAUAAACAGUUAAUUUUAAAGAACAACUCAAAAUAGUUUUAGUAAUGUAUAUGUAUAAAUGAAUAUGUUAUAAUACCUAGAUGAUUUAACUAAUAACUAAACAUGAUUUUAUCGAAGUAUUUUCAGUUUCAAAACCCUUCAUCGUAACAUUCCUAGAUUCAGCCAUAACGUAUAGGCUGUGUUUGGGGUAUUACAUUUAGUGGUAUCAGAGCUAGGUUACAAAACUCAGGCUGUAAAUUUUGAGUUUCAAAAUUGUAUUUCAAAAAAGAAUUGGUUGAUAAUUUAGAUCAUUUUGAGUAAGUAUAUGGUACACCGAGUCUCCGGCGCCAAUACUCUAAGUAUCUCUAAAUUUAGAAAACACUAAAUUAGUACUUUUUAAAAUUGUACUAAGUUAGUUAGAGACUAAAGCCUCUGAAAUACUUCUGAACUUCUGAUAAAUUAAGUAUAAAAUAUCUGCUAAUAAAUACUGGAACUGAUGCAUAAAAUUCUAUAAUAUAGAUAAAAUUGAAAAUACGAUGAGCGCUCGUGGAACUCACGGUCGUAUUAUUUGUGGUUGUGGUGGGUGUCGUAGGAGGGCUCGAGCUAAGUAUUCUUCUCUGUGUAGUAUGCCAAAUUUAAACACAAGUGAGACACUAGUUUCACUUGCUAUUGAGACUGGGCCUCAAAGCCGCUCGGCGGGGGACGACGCAUUGUCCCAAGCCAUGUUGAGAGUAUUGGAGAGGGUCGUUGGACCCCAUUCUAGAUCUGGGGUUCGUAGGUCGGUAAUUGAAAUACUUCAGUCCAAUGAAGCUAAGUUGUUUAGGGGCGUCACUAGAGUCGCCCCUACUGUGGCUGAGUAUUGGUUAAAGGCCACUGAGAGGAUUAUGAACGACAUUGAAUGCACUCCUAAGAAGAAAUUGAAGGGUGCAAUCUUUUUGCUUCGUGACAAAGCUUAUCAGUGGUAGUUGUCAGUUGAGGAACGUACUCAACCAAAUCAUCUGAACUGGGACUAACUUAAGACUGCUUUCUAAGGAAAAUAUGUGGGUACAAUUUAUGUUGAUGCUCGUAGGCGUGACUUGAGCUUAUGAAUCUCAUGCAAGGUGAUAUGUCUGUGGCCGAGUAUGAGGCCGAGUUUCUAAGAUUGAGCUGCUACGCUCGAGCUAUGAUGGCAUCUGAGUAUGAGAAAUGUGUUUGUUUUAAGGACUGUUUAAGGGAUAGUCUAAGGGUUCUGAUUGCUCCGCUGAGGGAGCGUGAGUUUGUUGUUUUGGUAGAUAAGGCGAAGAUUGCUGAAGAGGUUGAGCACGUGGAGCACCUAAACAGGAAGCGAUAGAGAGGUAAGAACAAGAGGGAUUUGGUGCCCUCUAGUGCUGUUUAGAGGCCUAAAAAGUGGGCUAGACCUGAUUCGCUUGUUAGAUUGAGAGUUCGUGUUGCUCCUACUGGGAUUCAGCCUUGUGGUGAUUGUGAUAGGCCAUCCGAGCACGUGUUGGAAGAGAUUAGGGGCUUGUCUGCGGUGUGGGUCUUUGGAGCAUGGGAUUAGAGAAUGUCCACAUCGUGCUGAUCAGACGCAAGCUUUGGGACUGAGUUUUGAUCAACCUCAGAAGGCAGUACAACAACCACCUAGGGGCCAUAGACCGGCUAGGAGUGGUAAUGGUAUCGGCUGAUGACAGAAAGCACCGGGUAGAGGUGCUAAUCAGAUUGAAAUGAGGCAGCCUGUAUUGGUUUAUGCUGCUUGAUGCCGAGAGGAUAAUGACAUUCCUGAUGUGAUCACGGGUAUGUUUUUAAUUUUUGAUGCUCCAUAUACUGCUUUGAUAAACAUAGGUUCUACGUACUCCAAUGUAGCUAGUACUGUUUCUAGGAACUUGGGGAUUUUUGUUGAGUGCGCUUCUGGUGAUAUUAUUGUACUAAGUCCAUUGGGAUAGUCUAUUCGAGUAAAUAAACUUUAUAGGAAUGUUUCGUUAAAAGUAUAAGAGGCUGCGUUUUCAGAAAAUUUGAUAGAGCUACCAUUUGGGGAGUUCAACUUAAUUCUGGGUAUAGACUAGUUAGUUGAGCACCGAGUUAGGUUCAAUUGUGCGACUAAAAGGGUUGUUCCGAGGACCGGGGAUGAUAAGGAAGUGGUUGUGAUCGAUGAGCAUCGAGAUUACUUGUCUGAUGUGUUCUCCACUUUAGUGGCUGAGAAAUUGGUUUAGAAAGGGUAUGAGGCGUAUUUGGCCUAGUCAGUGUUUCAGUUCUAGGAACUCUUCUGUCAAGGAUAUUAAAACAAUGAAGGAAUUUUUAGAUGUUUUUCCUGAGGCAUUACCAAGUUUACCUCUAAAUUAGGAAGUUGAGUUCGGCAUUGAGCUUCCAUCAGGUACAGCUUCGGUGUCUAUCGCUCCAUACCGUAUGGCACCGAAGGAGCUUACAGAGUUUAAGGCUCAACUUCAAGAGCUUCUAGAUCGUGGUUUCAUCCAUCCUAGUAUGUCUUCGUGGGAGGUAUUGGUUCUGUUUGUAAAGAAAAAUGAUGGUACCAAGAGGAUGUGCAUCGACUACCGGCAGUUGAAUAAACUGGCUGUGAAGAAUAAGUACCCACUUUAGAGGAUUGACAACCUAUUUGAUCAGUUCCGUAAGGCUACGGUAUUCUAAAAAGUAGAGCUUCAUUCUAGGUAUCAUCAGCUUAGGGUUAAGAAAGCUAAUAUUCAUAAGGCAGCUUUUAGGACUCGUUAUGGGCACUACGAGUUUCUAGUUAUGCCCUUCGAUUUGACGAAUGCUCCGGCUACAUUCAUGGAUAUGAUGAACCGAGCUUUUCAGCCGUAUCUGGACCAGUUCUUCGUAAUCUUCAUUGACGAUAUUCUGGUGUACUCUAAGACUAAGGAUGAGCAUGGUGCGCAUCUUAGAGUAGUGCUUCAGAUGCUCCGAGAGAAACAACUCUACGCUAAGUUGAGCAAGUGUGAGUUUUGGUUGCGAGAGGUAACUUUUCUGGGACAUGUGGUUUCUGCUGAGGGGAUUCGAGUUGAUCCUUGAAAGAUUGAGCUUGUGCUUGAUUGGAAGCAGCCUAAGAAUGUUUCUGAUAUCCGUAGUUUUCUGGGUCUUUCGGGUUAUUAUUGGCUGUUUGUUGAAGGGUUUUCACUAAUUACGGCUCCUUUGACUAAGCUUCUGCUCAAGAGUGUUUCUUUCGUUUGAACUGAUAUGCAAAAAUCGAGCUUUGAAAAGCUCAAGUCCGUUUUGACUCAAGAUCCUAUUCUGAUAUAGCCUGAAUUUGGUAGGGAGAUUGUGGUGUACAGUGAUGCGUUGCACAUCGGUUUGGGAUGUGUACUGAUGCAAGAUGGUAAGGUUGUGGCUUAUGCGUCCUGUCAGCUUAAGUCAUAUGAGGGGAAUUAUCUGAUGCAUGAUCUCAAGUUAAUCGCGGUGGUGUUUGUGUUAAAAAUCUAGAGGCACUAUCUGUAUAGUGAGAGGUUUAUUAUCUACACCGAUCACAAGAUCCUCAAGUACCUCCUUACUCAGAAGGAGUUGAAUCUUAGGCAACGUUGAUGGAUUGAGUUGCUCAAAGAUUAUGACUGCACGAUAGAGUAUCAUCCUAGUAAGGCCAAUGUGGUGGUCGAUGCUCUUAGUCAAAGAACGAUGACUGAUUUGAGGGUUAUGUUCGCUCGUCUCAAUUUAUUUGAUGAUAGAGGUCUGUUAGCCGAGUUGCAAGUUAAGCCAACUUGGAUUGAUCAUAUUCGAGUUAAGCAGUUAGGGGAUGAUUCUAUGGUUCUGCGGUUUUGUUAGGUUGAGAGUCAUAGUACUUUUGAUUUUGGACUGAUUAAUGAUAGAGUUUCGUGUUUCUGAAGUCGGGUUUGUGUAUCGAGCAAUUGUGAUUUGAGGCAGUCAAUUUUGAGGGAAGCACAUAGUAGCCCUUAUGAUAUGCAUCCUGGUGGUAAUAAGAUGUAUCGGGAUCUUCGUGAGUUGUACUGGUGGCCGGGAUUGGAACGUGAGGUAACAGAUUUUGUUGGUUGUUGUCUGACAUGCCAGCAAGUUAAGGCUGAACACCAGUUGCCUUCAGGUUUGCUUCAACUUGUUAAGAUUCCCUUGUGGAAAUGAGAAUGAGUGACGAUGGACUUUGUUAGUGGAUUGCCCUUGACAUCCAUUAAGAAUGAUUCUAUUUGGGUCAUCGUGGAUCGAUUAACCAAGUCUGCCCAUUUUAUUCCGAUUUAGACGGACUACUCUCUGCAAAAGUUAGUGAAGCUCUACAUCUCUGAGAUUGUAAGACUGCAUAGGGUUCUGGUUUUGAUAAUUUCUGAUAGGGAUCUUUACUUUACUUCUCAGUUCUGGAGGAAACUGCAUGAGGCUUUAGGUUCAAGAUUGGACUUCAGUACCGCGUUUCAUCCUCAAACCGAUGGUCAAUCUGAGAGAGUGAUUCAGAUACUGGAGGAUAUGCUUCGGAGUUGUGUGAUUGAUUUCCAAGGUAGUUGGGAGGAUUUUCUGCCGUUAGCUGAGUUCGACUAAUGUAACAGUUUCCAGUCUAGCACCCAGAUGGCACCUUACAAGGCUUUGUAUGGUCGUAAGUGUCGUACUUCGCUAUGUUGGACUGAAUUGGGUGAGCAACGAAUUUUGGGUCCUGAGUUGGUUUUCGAGACUAAAGAUAAGGCUAGACGAAUUCAGGAUCGUCUGAAGGCGGCUUCUGAUAGACAGAAAUCCUAAGCGGAUCUGAAAAGAAGGGAUAUCCUCUAGUCACAAUCAAACCUUCUUUGAUUCUGAUCGGACCAUCUGUAUUUAACUGAACCCAAUUACUAGCAAGCUAAGGAUAUUAAAUUUUCGUGUUUAAUAGUUUUUAGAAAUUAUAUUUUGUAUUAAACUUUUGUCUGAAUUUCUUUCAAUAUCAAAUUACUCUUUAUAACGUAUGGUAUUUUAUGUCAUAUAUAUAUUUUUUAAAUUGUGUACAUGCAAUUUAGCCUGUAUAAUAUUAAUGGCAUUACUAGAUUUAAUUUUUUUUUAACUUUUGAAAUUUUUUUCUUUUACUAUUUUUAAAGAAUAACCAAAUAUUUAGAAUUCAAUCAAAUGAGAAUUUAGUUCAGUUGACAAAAAUAGAUAUCUUGAAUCUUGAGUACUUCAGUUUAAGACCUACUAUGCACAAAUAUUUACGUAAGGUUUUUUAAUUUUAAUUUAAUUAAUUUUAAUUUAGUUUUAAUCUCGAUUAUAUUAGAACGAUCGAUUUAUGAUUAUUUAUAUUUGUAAUUAUAUUGUACUUGUUACGCUAAAAAAAAUAAAAUUAUUUCACUUUUCCUUUUCUUUCAGAAUAUUUCAUAUUAAUUCCUAAUCGAUCCAGACAUCUGUUUUGUGGUUGCAUCCACUUUAAACUUCAUAAUUCCAAAAUAAGGUGAGCAAAUAAAAGGAUUUGCCUUCCAAUUAUAUAUUCUCACUAAAGGGAAUAUGCAAGUGCCUUCGUUCAUCAUCAUCAUGUGCAUGUGCUUGAUUUUCCCUUUUACCUGGCUAAUUGAAAUGUAUACAUGGGAGUGUGUAUAUAUACAUGCUAAUUGUCACCAUCUUUUAAAGCAUAUAUUCAGCUCCCUGAUAAAUUAUAGAGGAAUAUAUGUUUGUUAGCAUCCUUAUUUAUUAAAGUGAGAUGUUUAAUAAAUACGAGAUUUAUGAUACACUUACAUUUAUAAUAUAAAUGAAAAAUAAAGUUAUUUAACAAACAUAUUUAUUAAAAUUCAUAUAAUAAGCAAUUGAUAUUUUUUAUUAUAAAUGUAAAGUUAAUUGUUUACCAUGCUUGAAUUUAGAGUUGUCUAAGUGUUGAGUUACUCGUCUGAACUCGAGAGUUUGCUCGAAAUAUGAGAGGGUUUAAACAAGUAGACAAAGCUAAAAAAAUAGACUUAGGAAAAUAUAUAGACCCGUUUCCUAUUCGAGCUAGGCCUUGAAUAGAGUUUUUAAGCCCGAGCCUAACCCGACCUGAAUAUAUAUAAUUUCUAUAUUGAUUCUAUUCCUUUGCUGGGUAUGGAACAUUUGAAGGUGUGCAAUUUACUUACGGCAUGUUUGGUUGGGUGUAUUGGCUAUGCCAAUACACCCCUAAUCGGUGGGCCCCACUUAAGCUCCCUUUAUUCCGUUGUUUGGUUCAUGGUAAUGCUAUUACGGGUGUAAUCUAUUACUGCCCUAAUCGGUGAAAUCCAUCGAUUUGUAAUACAGCCCUUUUGCUCAGAUUAGGUGCUGCAUCCAAAUCCCUCCCUGUUUUACCCUCCCAAUUGGCUUCCCCAUUCCAUCGCCUCUUCCUUCGUUCUACCUUCGUUCUACCUUUGCCUCCCGAUUGGCUUCCCCAUUCCUUCGCCUCUUCCUCUGUCUCUCAACCUCUUCUUUUCUUUUUCUUUACAACCAGUCACUCUUUCGUUUUGCCUUCUCAACCAGUCGACCUUUUUCUUUUCUUUUUCUCUGUGUCACUCCUUCGAUUGCUCUCAAUUGAUGGGUUUCCAGGUUACUGCUACUGAAAGGUAAAGGUUUCUAACUCUCUUUUGCUCUCAAUUAUCCUGUAAUUGUUCUAACUCUCUUCUUCUCUCUGUACUGAGUUUUAAUGGCUGUCUUGUUAGUGUCUUCUUCAUUGCACUUUCAGGGCCUGAUCAUAUAAACUUCAUCGAAACACGGAAUCUUUUGUUUCUUCUUCUCUUUUGCUGGAGUUUUUGCUUUAAUUUUCGGUAAAAAUUUCUUACUAAUCUUUGAUUUUGGUUGUUUUCUCAUUGGUUGAUCUUUACGGCCCUCAUGGAAUCAAAGACCUGAAAGUUUAAAGGGAAUUUUCCUUACUUUCUUGAUAAAAUUCAAUUUAAAACAUUCCAAUAAUUUUUUCCACCUUGUGAUUGGUAAUUUUUCACUUCUUAAUUCUUUUUGAAUAAUUGAGUUAUCUACUUCGUUAUUAGAUGAUUAUUGUUAUGAUUAUUUGAAGAACAGUAACUUGUGUACAUGGAGUUUAUUUUGUUCUAAUUGCGUGACAGGUUUUCGAUGCUUAGUUGCAUGUUAAACAGAAAUCCAGAAUGAUCCUAUCAAUGCAAGAAAAGUCACAGUUUAUUCCAAUUUACAAUCAUUUUUUUCUUUUUCUAUGUGUGUUUUUAUCUUGUUAGGAUUAGACUUGCUCAUAUUCAUUUUCGUUCAGUAUGUUGUUUUUUCUAUUAGAUUUUCAUUUUUCUGGAUUGUUCUUUUAAAAAAUGAAUGAUUUUUCCUAGUAAUCUAAUUUAAUUUGUGUUUUUAUGUUAUGGGGGGCUAAAAUGAUUAGUAUUCUUCUCCAGCAAAGAGAAUGAAGCCAGAGGUUUCUUCGUUGAAUCCCUGUGCAGCAUCAUACAUACCACUUGCCAAAAGGGAGGGUUCCAUAGCUAAAGAUAUUAAGGCUGGAAAUGAGUCUGCUUGGUUUGAUCCUUCCUCACGUAGCAAUGCUUCACUUGAAUCUGCAAUCCCUGGCAUUGGAAACCACCUGGUUGCACUGAAAAGCGACCCUGGUCAUGGUUCUUUGAUGCAAAAUCAGGGUGAAAUGAGUGGCGAGCAGAUUAUGGAUGAGGAAUUCGACAUGGAUUUGGAGUAUCUUCGCAUGAUGUUCCCCGGUUUGUCCAAUGACUCUGUUCUGGAUGUCUACAUGGCUAAUAAUGGAGACUUAGAAGCCACUAUUGACAUGCUGAACCAACUUGAGGUAAAUUUUGCCUAUCUUUAUUUUAUAAUUUAUAUAACUUGAUUGUCUGAGUGGUCUUGCUGGAUUAGUUUUCUAUAUUAUUUUCAUCUCGAAUGUUUCCUAUAUUAUUAGCUCCUCUUACUGUUCCAUCCUGCAGAUUUCCAAGUGUCCCUCUAUGAAAGUGCUAGUAGUGAAGUAAUUGAAUUUAUGAAUAAUUUUCUGAUGUUAUGGGUAACAUAUUUCACUUGUUUUUAACUGUAUGACAUCAAAGAGUUAAGGAUGUUAGUCUGCAUUCAGGCCUAUUUCAGCAUAACCAUGGUUUUUCUUCAUUUGUUUUAAUCCUCCCUGUGCAAAUGAUAGAGAUUUUUCAACCUGUUUUUGUCUCCCACCUUUUGAACUUUCAUAUGAUUUUAUACAUUGAUUUAUGUCAAUGAUUUCCCCACAUAUUUUGUUCUUAUGGAUCGUAUACCUUCAGAUGCUUUUAUUGUUUUUAUUCACCUCACUUUCAGUUGAAUAUAUUAUAACUGAGGGUUGUGUAGUGUUAUCUUGUUCAUAUAAAUUUGUUUGGAAAUUUACCUAUUCUAUAAUGCCAUUAAUAAUGUAUGCUAAUUUGAAUAUUGGGGAUAGGAUGUUUUCCUCAUGCUGCUUGCUUCUUGUUUACUCAUUGUACGGCAAGUUCUUUCUUUGGUUUCAUUAGAAGUGAUUUCUGGAGUAUUUGUGAUUUUGAUUCUUGAAUUAGUUUAUGGUUGGGAUUAAAAAUGCACAUUUUUGCCCUUAUUUCAGUAUUCAUGUACAUUGGAUAGUUCUCUUUGUUAGAUGUACACUGUUGAGUCCUCUGACACUCUUCCCGACACAUUGGAUAUCGGUGAUAUCUCUGAAUUUAUCUCUUCAGCAAACUGUGGUACUCUUAAACUGAAGAAUGUGGCAGGUGAAACCGGCGCGUCUUCAUUAGGCUCUACAGAAUCAGCUGUUACCUCCUGAUUGACAUAAUCAAAGGGGUUUCAGUGUUUCUAGUUUUAGUUGUAUCUCUCAGUGGAUAAGAAGUGUACACAAGUAGGGUUCUUCUUCAAGGUUGAGAAAUGUAGUACUUUGCUUUUAACACUUGAAGGGUUUAACAUUGGAUGUGUAGUUGUAUGCUGUAACAUUUGUUUGGUCGCUCAACUUUUUCUACAUUUGUUUGGCGAUGGAAGAGUAUUUGUUUUGUUUAUGCCUUUGCUGGGGGUUCAUUUUCUCUAUAUAAUAUAAUAACUUAUAUUAGAAGUAAAAUUGUAUUUUGCUUUCUACUAAAAGAAUGGGCAAAUUAGUUCGUGUACGUAAGAUUAAAGAGCAAACUAAUCUUUUUGUUAAAAAUUUCAUCCAUUUUUAUAAUUAAAACCGGUCUUUAUAUGUCGGCAUGAGGUACACGUGGUACAUUACAUGUAAUUGUCUGAUUAUUUUUAUUGUUAACAAUUGAUCUUUUUACAUAGUUUGUGAUAUAUGCACAAAUGAGGUGAAAUUUAUUAAAUUUUAUUCACCGAAUCUAUCAAUUUUCAAAUUUGGAAAAUCAGUCGACUUGCAACGACUUUUUGGAUAGGAUCAAACAUUCUUGGAUUGAGAUAUUUUCAUAGUGUUUGGAGAUCUCUUAAUAUAAGAAUAUUAAUUAUUAAGAAUUUUAUUAAAUUAUAUAUUUUAAUUAUAAUAUAUUUAAUAAUAAUUAUGUUUAAAUAUGAUUAAAAUAUUUAUUAUUGAUAUUAAUAAUCUUAUUAAAAUUUAAAUAACAAUAACAAUAAUAAUUUACCAAAACAAAUUUCUGCUAAUUAUUAAGAAUUUUAUUAAAUUAUAUAUUUUAAUUAAAAUAUAUUUAAAAAUAAUUAUUUUUAAAUAUGAUUAAAUUAUUUAUUAUUGAUAAUAAUAAUCUUAUUAAAAUUUAAAUAAUAAUAACAAUAAUCAUUUACCAAAACAAAUUUAUGCUAAGGGUAUUCUAGUCAUUUUAGUUUUUUCCAUUAUGUUAUUACACCUCUAUUCCAUUCAACCAAACACAAGAUUACUAUUACGCCUCUAUUCCAUUACAUUCAACCAAACAGUUGAUUUGCUAUUACACCUCUAAUCCAAUACACCUCUAAUCCAAUACAGCUCUAAUCUAAUACACAUCUAAUCUAAUACAGCGAACCAAACGCACCCUUAGUGAUACUGAUGAUGUCUAAGUUGAUUGUAAUUACAUUUAUAAGAUCCCGAUAGCUCUGCAUAAAGGUUUGGAUAAGAUGAUUUGGCGUUGCUCUAAUAAUGGAUUAUAUUCAAUAAAAUCAGGAUGCAAGUUAGCCUCUGAUUUGUAUUCAAAUUUUGUUUCGAAUGAAGCCGGCGGUCCUCGAUUGAAGAUUUGGAAUGGCCAUUUCCAAUCGGAGGUGAACUAUUUUACUUGGAGGUGUCUCAGAAACUUUAUUCCUACCAAGGCAAUGUUAAUUGUUAAAGGAUUAAAUGUGCCUUCUAUUUGUGCUAAAUUUUAUAUAUAAACUUACGCCCUGUUUGAGAAUGUUAAUCAAUUAAAAAUUAAUAUUCAAUUAAUUGAAAAUUGAUAUGUAAUUUUAGUUGAAAUUUGAUGAAUUGUUUUUUUUAAAUGGAAUGGCAAUAUUUGCAUGAUAUUUUGAGUUCAAAUAUCUUUAUGAUUAAAUUUUUAUUGAUUUAUUAUAUGUAAAAAAGAUUAAAAAAAGAAAGAAAAGAACAUUAUCACAAAAAUAUAAUUUAAUUAGUAUAUAAGAGAAUAUUUUAAUAAUUUUAAAAUUGAAUUGAUAAUCCAUCACACUGGUAUAGAUUAACUAAGGAGUGUUUCAAAGUGUUGAACGCCUCAUGGUCUGGAAAACAUGGCCAUAAAAACAAUAUACUAAACACAUAAGUGUAAGACCCAAAUUUUGCCCAAGCCUAAAAUAUUUACAGUCCAAUUACAAAACCCAAUAUUUAACCUAAACUAUCAGCCCAAUUAAGACCUAAAACAAAGACCCAAAACCAAGCCCAACACGGCCCAAACUAACAAAAACCCUAAUGCCUCGAUAGGCCCAAAAUCUAAACAAAUUUCAGCCAAAAUAUGGAAGCAGAAACCCAAGUGCGCCGCUCCCUACGUGGUGUCAGCACCUUCUCCGCUGCAACGCUGCCACUGGCCUCCUCCACGCCUCUGACAGCACCUGCAAAACCAAAGCAACAAGCAAAACAACAGCAGAGACAACAGUGGCAACAGAGUAGAAGGAAAACGAAAUAGUAGAAUAUAUUGUAAUUUAUUCGACUAUAAAAGCCUCGAAAAAUCAGUGUAUCAAGGGGGAUUUUUGGGGAACAAAAAAGAAAAUCGAAUAAAAGAGAAGAAAUUUGAAACAAAAUACCAAAGGUGAUUCCUCUUUUUAUUUUUUAUCUUACUUUCAAAAAAAAAACAAUAAACAAAAGCACGGUCUUUUUACCUGAGUCGACAAACCUUCCACAGUGGUCGAAAGUCCUCUCCGGCGUUCGAAACCUAGAACCCAUAGUGGUUCGGCGUGAUGAUUUUGAGAGACGUUGUAACGCCUCAAUUUUUAGGCCUGGAAGUAUUGGGCCUUCAGUCUAGGUUUGGGUAGAAGACGGCCCGAAUAAUUUGGAUGUUAUUAUUAUUAUUAUUUCGUAUGUUUAGUUUAGUAAUUAAAUAAAUUAUGAAGGGUUUAUGGUGUGGGAAAAGGUCCAGGGCUCGGCCCAUAGCUUUAGCAAAAUUAUUAAAUUUUGCCUCUUAAGGGAAUCUGGGCAAUAGGCCUUAUUAAUAAUUUGGGCAAGGAACUUGGUGUUGGCCGAAUAUUGGACUCUUGAGGGGCAAGAGUUGGCCGACCAAGGGUCUUUAGUAUAGGCAAUUCGGCUAGGUCUAUGUGCUUUUUAAUUUUUCCCUUGACGAAUAUUAUUUCCCUUCUCCCCUCUCUUUUAUUCAUAUUUUCUUUUCUUUUUCCCUCAUAGCCGAACCCAUACCCCUUUCUUUCUUCAUUAUUUCUUAAAAGUCAAAUCUUAUUAUAGCCGAACCUCUAUUCUUUUCUUCCUUAAAAAGCCAAAACCUUCAUACCUAUGGUUUAGGAAGCCGGAUCUUUGGCUACUUGAACCUGUUUCUUCUAACUACGGUAGAUCGGGAUUAAUAUCAUAGAUAUGAGCACUUUUCUGGGCCAAACAAUGAUUGGUAAGUUUGUCGAAUAAUUUUUGUUAAUUAUUUAUGAUUUAAUAUAAAAGCGGAAACCCCUUAAGGGUGGCUAAUGUUUGGACUAAGGGCGUUAGUGCCUCUUUUUUUCCAUUGUAUAAGCAUUAGCGUGGACAAAGGGGCGUGCAGUAAAGGGUUUGAAGACUGAUUCGGACUGGAUAUCUAGAUCUAAUCCAUAUUUCGGCAAAAAGGUAAGAACUCUAGGGUUAAGGGAUGUUGGCCGAAUUUGGUAAGGGGGAAUAGUACGUAGUUUGUUUUCGGUAUGUAGACUGACAUUUAGUAACUCGAUUGUAGGAAACCCCUGAGUGGAUCUCGCCAGCAUACCGUUACAAAUCAGGUGUGUAAACGACACCCACUCAUAGACUAGAUCGGCAAAAGCCGAAAAGUUGAAAUGCCGAAAAGUCGGCAUUUUGUGAACUUGCGAGCGUGCGAGUGCUCGUGAGGUGGUUAGUUUGUUAAAUUUUGGUAAUCACAAGCGGUAUGAUUGUAGAGUGCGCAAUUUCAUGCACUUCAGUAUAUUUGGGCUUAAUGGGCCGAAAACGGGUUAGUGGGCCAACGGGCCUAAUUCGGUAAAAACGCUCGGUAGGUGUUUUUGUUAAUGCGUUAAUAACUAUAAUGAGCAUGAAACCCUAAAAAUAUUGAUAAAAUUACUGAAAUACCUCUGUAAGAUAGAAUUACCGUAAUACCCCUAAAGGGGUAAGUUUACGAUUACGCCCCUCGAGGGUAAAUAACUAUUCUUACGCUAUAAUCUGACUGUCUUUCUGAAGCAUGCCUUGUUAAUUAUAUAUAUAUAUUCUACAUACAUGUCAUACUGCAUGGGGUUGGGUUUUGUUAUGGAGGAAGAACCCGUUCUGGUAGCUGUGCCACAUAUUCUGAUAUAAGCAACUUGGCUGCGGAUUAUAGUUAGUGCCGCAACUGGUGCUAACACUGUAAGUGUAAGGAUGGCGUGGGUGAUUUAUUCCCCACAGGAAGUGUAGGGAUGGACGGAGGCAAGUGCAGGGUUGGAUGGGGUUAUCAUGUGUUAAUCAUAUGAGACUGUUUUAUUAUGGGCCAACUGUAUUGAAAUGGGCCCAACUGUGUUGAUAUGGGCAAGGCCCAAUAUAUCUCGACUUGUAAUAGGGCUAUCGCCCAGAUUAAUACUAAUAUGGGCUAGACCCAGUAUACUUUGAUAUUGUAAAGGGCUAUGGCCAGAUUAAUAUUGAUAUGGCCUAAGGCCCAGUUAGCCCUGAUUUUUGAAUAGAGGUUAGGCCUAGUAAAGCUUGAACUGAUUUGGGCUCUGGUUGGGAUACUUUACACACUGAGUUUUCUAAACUCACCCCAUUUUUUCCUAUCUUUGCAGGUGAGCCUUAGAUCGGUGGACUUGGAGCUGGAGGGAUUCAGAGUGGCCAUGUGGACUGUUUAAAAUAAGUGUUUAUACCUUCACUUUUAUUUUAGAUUAUUUCCUUUAUGUUUUCGGGUUUUUAAUUUGUAAUAAGGCUGCUUUAAUUAUUUUUUAAUUGUUUUUAGUAUGUUUUGUUAGCUUAGAUAUGAUAUUGUUUUAAUUGUUUGAAAUUGAAUAGCUCUAGGGCGUGUUUUCAAAAGAAAUUACCUGAUUUCAAAAUAUCGCGAAACAAGACAAAGCUUCCGCAACGAAAACGUUUUCAAAAUUUAAUAAGUGAUUUCAAAUGGAUAAAAACGAAAUGGUUUCUUCUAAACAAUCGCUCAGUUAAAGUGUGGCAAUGGUUGUGUGCAUGUCUAGGAGUGGAUCCGUGGAGAGCUUGGUACUUAAGCAGUCUAAUAGACUCACCUCCUCUUUUCUAGUAUCCUACCUGGUGCACAGCUCCCAUUCACUUUAAUUUAAAACGAAAAUAUUCUUUGAACACUAAGAAAAAAAUUUAGAUAAGACAUGAGUUUUCAGUUACGCUUUAAUGUGACACGUUGGAUUCGACCGUAAUAUAUGAGCCGGGUUUGGGGUGUUACAUUUAGUGGUAUUAGAGCCCAGUUGCAACAACUCGGCUGUGGAUCGGGUCCGAACGUUUUUCAUAAAAUUUUGAAAUCUAGUUCCAUGGAAAAACACUGAAAUCGAUUUUGUGGAAAUGUUAGAAAAUUAUUUUAAAUUUUGUUUUCAAAGUGCACAAAGAAUAAAUUUGAAUUUUACUAAGUGCACAAAGAAGUGGCACACUGAAUCCCCGGCACCAAGUCUGUAAGUACCUUUUCUGAACUUUACUAAGUAUUUGUUAUAUUACUGAGACUCUGCUAUGACAUUAUAGUUAGAGCUAGAGUGCACAGUAGAAGCAUAGUGGUUUGGCUUGAGUAAUACGGUUAGUUGAUAGUUUGAAAUUUCGAGGACGAAAUUUCUUUAAGGGGAGUAGAGUUGUAACGCCCCGAUUUUUGGGCCUGAAAGUAUUGGGCCUUGAGUCUGGGUCUGGGUAGAAGACGACCCGAAUAAUUUGGAUGUUAUUAUUAUUAUUAUUAUUUAUUAUUUCGUAUGUUUAGUUUAGUAAUUAAAUAAAUUACGAAGGGUUUAUGGUGUGGGAAAAGGUCCAGGGCUCGGCCCAUAGCUUUAGCAAAAUUCUUAAAUUUUGCCUCUUAAGGGAAUUUGGACAAUGGCCUUGUUAAUAAUUUGGGCUGAGUUUUAGCAUAAGCAGGCACCUGGCCCAGUGGCUAAGGACGCUAGGAGGGCGUGGGAGGUGCUUGGGUUCAAGGCACAGCGCGCGCAAAUUGGGUGUUUUAUUUUAAUAUGCAGAUGGCGGUUGAAAUAAGGGUUAAGAGGAAAUGCCAGCAUAAUUCAACACAAGGAGCGCCUGUGGCGCAGUGGCAGCAGCGUGCUGGGCACACAGAGAGGGGGCGGGUUCGAGUCCUUGCGCGGGUGAACUCCGUUUUAUUUUUGAAACGGGCCAGAACUGAAGAAGGUAAGGUUAUAAAAUAAUUGAGAGAGGAUUAUGUUAUGGAAGGAACCUCGGUGCAGUGGCAAGCAGUGUAUGUGUGUGUUUAGCAGGUCCUGGGUUCGAGAGGAACAGUAGGCAAAAUUUCUUUUUUAUUUCACAAGUAACCGGAGCUUCAGCAGGUAAGGUUUUAUAAAUAAUUGUAACCAUAUACUAGUAAAGAAUGAAGUGUGGUGCAGUGGCCAGCAGCACUGGCGUAAGUGUAAGGGUAGACGGAGGUUUGGGGUUCAAGUCUCACUUUGUUUUUAUUCAUAUUUUCUUUUCUUUUUCUUUUUCCCUCAUAGCUGAACCCAUACCCCUUUCUUUCUGUCUCUUCCCUUAUUUUACUUUCUUCAUUAUUUCUUAAAAGCCGAAUCUUAUUAUAGUCGAACCUCUAUUCGUUUCUUCCUUAAAAAGCUGAAACCUUCAUACCUGUGGUUUAGAAAGCCGAAUCUUUGGCUACUUGAACCUGUUUCUUCUAACUACAGUAGAUCGGGAUUAAUAUAAUAGAUAUGAGCAAUUUUCUGGGCUGAACAAUGAUUGGUAAGUUUAUCGAAUAAUUUCUGUUAAUUAUUUAUGAUUUAAGAUAAAAGACAGAACCCCUUAAGGGAGGCUAACGUUUGGACUAAGGGCGUUGGUGCCUCUUUCUUUUCCAUUGUAUAAUCAUUAGCGUGGACAAGGGGAUGUGCAGUGAAGGGUUUGAAGACUUCUUCGGAUUGGAUCUCUAGAUCUAAUCCAUAUUUCGGCAAAAAGGUAAGAACUCUAGGGUUAAGGGAUGUUGGCCGAAUUUGGUAAGGGGGAAUAGUACUUAGUUUGUUUUCAGUAUGUAGACUGAUGUUUAGUAACUCAAUUGUAGGCAACUCGUGAGUGGAUCUAUCCAGCGUACCAUUACAAAUCAGGUUUGUAAACGACACCCACUCAUAGACUAGAUUGGCAAAAGUCGAAAAGCUGAAAUGUUGAAAAGCCGUCAUUUUGUGAACUUGCGAGCGUGCGAUCGCUCGUGAGGUGGUUUGUUUGUUAAAUUUUGGUAAUCACAAGUGGUAUGAUUGCAGAGUGCGCAAUUUCGUGCACUUCGGCAUAUUUGGGCUUAAUGGGCCGAAAACGGGUUAGUGGGCCAACGGGCCCAAUUCGGUAAAAACACUAGGUAGGUGUUUUUGUUAAUGUGUUAAUAACUGUAAUGAGCAUGAAACCCUAAAAAUACUGAUAAAAUUACUGAAAUACAUCUGUAAGGUAGAAUUACCGUAAUACCCCUAAAGGGGUAAGUUUACGAUUACGCCCCUUGAGGGUAAAUAACUGUUCUUACGCUAUAAUCUGACUAUCUUUCUGAAGCAUGUCUUGUUAAUUAUAUAUAUAUAUAUUCUGCAUACAUGUCAUACUGCAUGGGGUUGAGUUUUGUUAUUGAGGAAGAACCCGUUCUAGUGGCUGUGCCACAUAUUCUGAUAUAAGCAGCUUUGCUGCAGAUUAUAGUUAGUGCCGCAACAGUUGCUAACACUGUAAGUGUAAGGAUGGCGUGGGUGAUUUAUUCUCCACAGGAAGUGUAGGGAUGGACGGAAGCAAGUGCAGGGUUGGAUGGGGUUAUCAUGUGUUAAUCAUAUGAGACUGUUUUGUUAUGGGCCAACUGUAUUGAAAUGGGCCCAACUGUAUUGAUAUGGGCAAGGCCCAAUAUAUCUCGACUUGUAAUAGGGCUACGGCCCAGAUUAAUACUGAUAUGGGCUAGACCCAGUAUACUUUGAUACUGUAAGGGGCUAUGGCCAGAUUAAUAUUGAUAUGGUCUAAGGCCCAGUUAGCCCUGAUUUCUGAAUAGGGGUUAGGCCUAGUAAAGCUUGAACUGAUUUGGGCUCUCGUUGGGAUACUUUACACACUGAGUUUUCUAAACUCACCCCAUUUUUUUCCCAUCUUUGCAGGUGUGCCUUAGAUCGGUGGACUUGGAGCUGGAGGGAUUCAGAGUGGCCAUGUGGAUUGUUUAAAAUAAGUGUUUAUACCUUCACUUUUAUUUUAGAUUAUUUCCUUUAUGUUUUCGGGUUUUUAAUUUGUAAUAAGACCGCUUUAAUUAUUUUUUAAUUGUUUUUAGUAUGUUUUGUUAGCUUAGAUAUGAUAUUGUUUUAAUUGUUUGAAAUUGAAUAGCUCUAGGGCGCGUUUUCAAAAGAAAUUACCUGAUUUCAAAAUAUCGCGAAACAAGACAAAGCUUCCGCAACGAAAACAUUUUCAAAAUUUAAUAAGUGAUUUCAAAUGGAUAAAAACGAAACGGUUUCUUCUAAAUAAUCGCUCAAUUAAAGUGUGGCAUGGUUGUGUUCAUGUCUAGGAGUGGAUCCGUGGAGAGCUUGGUACUUAAGCAGUCUAAUAGACUCACCUCCUCUUUUCUAGCAUCCUACCUGGUGCACAGCUCCCAUUCACUUUAAUUUAAAACGAAAAUAUUCUUUGAACACUAAGAAAAAAAUUUAGAUAAGACAUGAGUUUUCAGUUACGCUUCAAUGUGACAUGCUGGAUUCGACCGUAACGUCUGGGUCGGGUUUGGGGUGUUACAGAAGUUAAAAAAGUUUUUGGUUAUUUUUUUUAUUUUGGAAGUAGAGGGUUCAAAACGGAGAAAAAAUGGCUCUUUUCGUGUACUCCGACCAUUGUGGACGGCGGCCGCCACGGUGGUCCGGUGAUCGGACCUUGGCCGGAUGCUGGAAGAGGGGAUAGAGUUUGAGAGGUUUUUCCUUUGUUUUUUUUGAGAGGUGUUGAAAAGAGCAAAAAAAAAGAGUGUAAAUUUUGGUUUAAAUACUAGUACUAAAACGAUACUGUUUUGGGCUUUAUGCCCCAGAUGCAAAACGACGCCGUUUCAUCCCUACCCGCGUGUUGACCCGACCCGUCUAGGGGCAUCCACGUGUUUUGACCGAAUGGGCUUGUUGCACUUUUGGCCCUUCCGCUUUUUUAUCAAUUUGCAAUCAAGCUUCCUUUUAUUUGUAAUUCGUGCCCUAUAAUUUAUUUCAAUCAUCAAUUUAGUCCCACACAAAGUGACACGUUUUGGAGGGCAGGAAUAUUUAUUCCUCUAGUCCCUCCAUUUCAUUCGCGCACUGCAAUAUGGUCCUUUCCCUUUUAUUCCUCUCAGAUUUGCCCCGAAUUUUUGUUUUAAGUUCAAAUUGGUCCCUUUUUGUUAUUUUUGCUAUUUUAUUAACUGUUUAAUAUUAUUGUUACUAUAAUCAUAUUUUAUUUUUGUGCUUAUUUAUUUGCUACUAUCAUUAUAUUAUUAUAUUAGUAACUUUGUAUUAUUAUCAUUAUUAUAAUCAUAUUUUCUUUUUGUGUUUCUUUACUUAUUAUUACAUUAUUAAUUGAUCUAUUAUUACUAUUAUUAUUAUUUUCACUAUUACUAUUAUUUUCUAACAUUAUUAUUACUAUUACUAUUAUUUAUUUAUUUAUUUAUUUAUAUCAUUGUUGUUAUUAUUAUUAUUCCUGAUUUUAUUAUUAUUGGUGUAUUAUUAUUAUUAUUCUUCAUUUUAUUAUUAUUUUCUAUUUUAUCAUUUAUUAUUAUUAUUUAUUAUCAAUAUUAUUAUUAUCAUUGCUAUUUUUAUUUUCAUUACUAUCAUUAUUAUUAUUUACUAUUAUUUAUUAUCAUUAUUAUCACCAUUUCCUACUAUUAUUAUUAUUAUUAUCAUCAUUAUUAUUUAUUUGUUUACAUAUGUUUUAUUACAAAUUGUGUCUUUAACUUCAUUUAUCUUUUGAUUCUUUACUUUCAAUAUUUCUUUGUCUUUAUUAUAUUUCAAAACUGGUAUCGUCAUUUCAUGUGCGUGAUUUAUCAUUAGUGUUCUUGUCGUCAUCAUUGUUAUUAUUAUUUAUUUUGUUUUCCUUUGAUGGUUAAUACUGGAAUUAAAGUGAUAUGCAUUAUGGAUUGCUUAUUAGUAUAUUUACAUUAUUGCCACUUAUUUGUGUAACAUUCGAUUCUUAUGCCAUUUUUAUAUUACGCUAAUUCUUACUCAAAUACACAAAAAUAAAAUUUUUAAAAUAAGGCAAUAUUCUGUGUUUGGAGAUUUGAAAGAUCGUGCCCUAACUUAUUGGGUUUCGAUUUUUCUUUGUUCGACCUAAAUGACCGAAUAACCUUUUGAAAUUAAAACGCAUGAAUUUUGAAAAUCAAAAAGCAAGCUUAUUCUCGAGGUUUUAAAAUGCUGUGUCCUAAUUUAUUGGAUGUGACAUUUUAUUACUUCGGGACAAGAAGGUCUUUAACAUCCGUUUCGAUUGAUGCAAGCAAAUUCUUUGUAAAAAAAUCAACAUUAAAAAGAAAGGAUCGUAUUUUUAAUUCUUUUCGAGUUUUUAAAUUUUUACAUUAAGACAUUAAUUAAUCAAUUUGGUACCAAUUUUGGGCGUGACAAGGGUUCUAAUCAUUCCUUGCACGUAACCGACUCCCGAACCCGUUUUCUCAAAUUUCGUAGACAAAAAUUGUUGUUUUAGCAAAUCGAAAUAUUUUAUUAAAAUAACCAAAUUUCUAAGUGAUCUGAUCACACCUAAAUAAAAAGAUUGAUAGCGACUUCCAAUUUUUGUUUUCUUUUCAAAAUAUAAAAUUGAUCCGUUUUAAAAAAAUAGUUUCGAGAGUAAGAAUGUUAGAUCCAAUCGGUUAAAGUAUCCUAUCCCAUUGAAUUUCUAAUUUCCAGCCAAUUGGGUGACUCAUUCUGUCUCGAUUAUGGAUUGAAUAUACACGGAUCCCACAACCCUUUAAAUGACGAGAGUUUCCCACUGCCACAGUUUAGAAAUUCUAUUUUAAAGAGAAGUGACAUUUACCUCAUUUACUCUUAUCGGUUUGUCAUGUUUUGAAUUUGAUCUAUUGCAAAAACUUUCUGAUCUCAUGAUGAGUUUUAUUCACUAUGACACCUUCGUUGACAACAUCCAUCAUAUUUCUUUCCAUGGGUAGGAGUCAUUCAUAAAAAUAUUGGAUGAAUAAUUGUUCCAAAAUUCUAUGUUGUGAGCAACUACCACAUAAUUGCUUAAAUCUCCUAAUACUCGUGAAGAGUCUCCAUACCGUUUUGCUUGAUGCCGUAACUUUUUCCUAGUAGAAAUAGCACAUGACGUAAAAAAAAAUCCGAAAAUAAUCUUAUCAUGUCAAUCCAUGUAGUAAUAGAUCCAGGAGGUAGAUAAUAUAGCCAAUCCUUCACCUUGUUGGCUAGUGAAAAGGUGAAGUCUCUUAGUUUGGUUUGUUCUUUGAUCACUCAUUGUCGUCUCAUAAUAGAACACACUACACCACAUGAAAAUCAUUCAAGUGCUUACGAGGAUCUUUGUUUUUUUGACCACAAAAACUGUUAGUACAAAUAUCCGGUGAGAAAAAUCUCGAACACACGAACAGAACUCGAAAGAAGAAGAAAUAGGACAAGGCUCCAAGGCGUGUAUCAAACCACUUUCUCUAAGAUUAUAUUCGCCCCCACCUAUCUUUGGUGUACAAAUGAGUUCCAAGCAAAUUAACCUUGAUGAUACAAUGAAGCCAAUGACUAUUAGCGUUUUGUACUGACGAGAAUAGCCCACUACACACUGAGCAAUGUAUGACAAGAAACUCAAUUUCUAUAAAGGAUUUUUGCAGUAAUACUUUAUAGAAUAAUCUAAUGAUAUUAGAAAAUGAAGAAAGGAAAGAAAGAAUAUUAGAAUUUGUUGGUAUGAUUUCCAAAUGAAAUCUCAUUCUAUUUAUAGGAAUUUUCAUGUCUCUUCAUAAAGACAUCUUUCAUCAAUAGGUGUCUUUCUGAAUAAUAAUGUCUUUAAAAUAAACACAUAAUUAUUCAAUUAAUUAUAACUAUUCAAAUAAUAUUAUUUAAAUAGUUAUAAUUCUUUUUCAAAAAAUCAAAUAAUAUAAUCUUUUGAUUAAUUACACCCAUUCAUUUAUAGUUGUAAAUAUUUGAAAAUGUUCCAACAAAAAGUAGGCAAUAAAUGAUUUAGUCCAGAUUUUAAUUCAAAAGAUACUUCUAAUCCUAGAUAUUCAAUGCACAACAGUUGUUGCUUCAGAUUUAUUUAAGAGAGAAAUUGGUUAUUCUCCUUUUGAUUCGGUAGAUGAAUCGACUGAAUUGUUCUAUGUAUCUAGUUGGGUAAUGAAGAUGGUUGGUUAGUUCUUGCUCGAACUCUCUUCCUUAGUCUUCGAGCAGUUCUCUCAAACUCAGGAUUGUACAAGAGUUCACCUGCACGAGAAGAUUAAAAUUUUAAUUUUAAUAAAUAUAUUUAAUACUGAGAAAAAAAGAAGAUCAAAACAUAAAAAUGAACAAAAAUUAAAUUAAAUUAAAAACAAGAAAGAGAUAAAAUUAUUAACAUUAAUAUAUGAUAAAAAGGUUAAAAUCUGUACAAUUGUUGAGACCUAUAAAAAUAAAAUCCUACUAAAAAAUAUAAAUUUAGUACAUAACAUUGAGUAGAGUCGUAUUCAUAGAUAUUGAUAAUAACUUUAUUUUUAAAACAAAAACAAGGAAAGUAAAUAUGAUGGAGAUUUUAGAAAAUAAAAAGCUAAAUUUAAAUUUAAAUCUUAACCAAGAAGGCAAUAAUAAAAAUUAUCAAUGAGAUGGAGCUCUAGCCAAUUGUAAAAUAUCUGUUUGAUUCACAAGUUUAAUCAUUGAUGGAAAGAUAAUUCCAUUGUUCUUUAAUAGAUUAGUUCAAAGUUGCCAAUGUCGUACCUAGCAAUCAGUCUCUCCUUAAUUUAUCGAUAACCAAGAGAAAGCUGUUGAAAUUAAUCUUCUUAUCAAUGAACAACCCUAUAACCUCACGUUUAGAAUUUAACUUACCGAUAGAGUUAUAAACGAGAGAGACCUAAUUUUAACCAAAAAAACACACAAGUAGGAUUUAUUUAAAUUAGAUUGCAUUCCCACACAACAUUGAUUGCAUACACAGUUACAGUAUUUAAAUUAGCUCCAUUGGCCAUGGAUUCUACAAGUUGUGUUGACAUUGAUGAUUUUUUUUAUGCUAUUGGUGAUGUCUGUAUUGUCAAAGCGUCAGGUAGAAUGUAUAACAGAUGGCUUGACCAUUGCUGACUUUUACCAAUCCAGCAUGUUUUAAAACUUGGUGGUAGUUGCUGCUACUGGUUAUGUAUUGAGUUGCUGGGAUGCUAGUUAUGUUUUAUUCUGCUGUUGGAAACAUGGUUUGUUGUUGGGGAUUUUUUUGUUGUCAGAUUUACUAUGUUAUGGUUCCUGGUUUAUUGUUUGAUGACUUGAUGGAUGGACGCAGAAGUUGGAGAAAACAUAAGAGUAUAAAUUGAGUCAAAAGAUAAAAUAGUAAAGGCCAUUCUGUUUUAUUUUUCCAUAAUAUUAUACAAACAGUCAACCAUGUAUAUACACAUGGCACUGACAUGAUUGUGAAGGCCUACACACUUUCUAAUGGUUGUACUGGCUAUCAAAAUUUAUUACCAUAACAGUAGUACGGGUAAUGAAGCAGCAGGCAGCUCGUUAUUAUUUAAUUUUGAUAGCCUUAACUACCAGCAUAGCUUGAUGAAGAAGCAAAGGCAGUUAUGCCUCUAACUCAAAUGAUGCCUUCAUUGUGGGUGAACGGCUCACGGGAUCAAUUUCAAUAGAUGCAAUGUACCCAAACUUUGUAACUUUAAAUUUUGGUUUUCCUCUUUUCUCAAGGUUGGUUUUGAUUUGCCCCCAGUGAAUAGGUUGCCUUUGGAUAUCAGUAUAGACCUGCAGCAUGCACGCAAAUGGCAUGCAAAUGGUCAUAGAUUAAAUGAUUAUAUAUACGCAUUCUAACUAGUUAAUUAAUGAUAAGAUUGAAUUGAAUGCAACAUAUACCUUGCUGUUCUCAUCUAGUGGGUUGCUCCAGGCAACAACCCACUUAGUUCCAUCACGUCGCCUGUACACAAGACCAGCAACUGAACCCUGACUAUCAG
Molecule: long non-coding RNA, 65339 nt
Filed under: Gossypium barbadense (sea-island cotton)
Lineage: Eukaryota; Viridiplantae; Streptophyta; Magnoliopsida; Malvales; Malvaceae
Description: long non-coding RNA (GBAR_LNC002996)
Source: RNAcentral